UUCCUUCGGGUCCUACGAACACCCGGACUUGACCCGGAACCAUAACCCGAAACAUUAGACGGAUCAGUAUUAUGCGCCGCGUUCAUAACCGCAGCUGGAGGAAAACGACGGCGGCGUGACCCGGAUAAAGUGGAUCGGGUCGGAGCUUCAAUUUCUUCAACAAAUCCAGUAUUACAAUCGGGACAAGUAAUAGAUUCUUCGCUCCAUACUCUAUAAAAUCUAUUACAUCUAUAACACCAAUACGUAGAAGACAUCGAAAACAAACCUUGACUUCUUCAAACUUCAAAAGUCAAAUACAAAUCUUUGCAACCCGGUUCCAGAUCCGAAACAAAUUCAACAAAUCAACAACUGCGACAACCUUUAAAACGGCUUUUUCACGACCCGGUUCAAGAUCCGUAACAAAUCAACAAACACCCACAAUUCACAAAAUCCGGAAACGGAAUUUUUUUAUGACCCGGUUUCAGAUCCGAAAAUUUCAAUGAAUUAAUUGUUAAUUCAACAAAUCAACAACUCCGACAACCUUAAAAAUGGCCUCUUCUUUUUUUACAACCCCAGAAGCGGAUUUUUUUACAACCCGAUUAUAGAUCCGAAAACUUCAACGAAUUAAUCGUAUAAAACUAACAAAGAAAAUAGCAAAACAAUGGAAAUUUUCAACGAAUUAAUCGUAUAAAAAAAUGAAAUUUUAGAUCGAAACACAUGAAGAAAAUAGCAAAGAAAUUGACUUGGAAUGGAAACUUGUGAGGAAAUUUAGAAGGGGAAGAUUGAAGAGAAUUAUAGGGAGAGAAUAAGGGGAAAUGGAGAGAUUUGGAGGAGGAAAAAUGGGGGAAUGGGGACAAAUAAAAGGAGAAGGGAUAUAGAGGGAAUUAUUUUGGGGGUGAAAGGUAAAAUGGGAAAGUGAAGUGGGUAGUGAGGAGUAGGAGAAUGAUUGUGCAAUUGAAGCGGGGAUAUAGUGAAAUGUGUCAACGUAAAAAUGGUGAGUGGCAAUACACCCUGCUGAUGAGCUCCUCCUUCCAUAUAUAUGCAUACCUAAAGUUUCAACACACCAAAUUGGCCCUUUUUAGAAAUUUUCAUCAAUUAUGGUGUAACGGAUAAAAUUAUUCCUUCGUUAAUUCAAACUUUAGAUAUAUAAAGUAGCUGUUUGGGCAUGAAAAUUAAUUUUUUUCAGAGUUGGAGUUGGAAUUGAAGAUGAAGUUAGAGUUGUGUUUGCUAUGUCUUUUUGAAAAAAAAUAAAAAAUUUUAAACUUUUGAAAAAACUUUUUAAAAUAUGAUUUAUGUCCAUAACUUUUAAAAAUUAUCAAAAUCACUCAACUACUAAUUUAUCUACUAACAUACAACCAAAUGUUGAGAAAAUAAUUUAUGUCUUCAAUGGAUAAAAUAAUUAACAACAAACUAACUAUUAUGAUUGUUAUUCUUCUAAAAUUUGAAUAAAAAUAUCACAAGCACGAGCUAAAUAAGUUUAUUUAACCAUAAUCGAUUGAAUAGAAUAAAUAUAUUUUGAUAAAUAUGAUUGAUGGAUAUAAAUAUAUUUUAUAUAUUCUUAAAUUUGUUGAUGAAAAUUCUUAAUUACUUUCACUUGAAUUAAUUAUUUUAUUCAAUUUGGUUUUUUUAAAAAAUUUUACGGAUGAAUUAUUUCUAAAUGGAUUAGUGCUAAUUUUUUGCUUUUUCUUUAUUGAUGAUUUUGAUUUUCCUUGAAUAUUAUUGUAUUGUAAAUAUGGAUCGUUACGUUAUGUUUGAUAUACAACUUUAUUGACCACUUUUUAAUAAUUUAUUAAAAUCAUAGUACCAUGACAUAUACUGAAAAUUAAAAUGGCAAGAAAAAAUAUUAAAUUUCUCAUUUUUAAAUAACAUAAUGUACUAGAUCUUAUACUUCUUUAAUAUAAUUCAUUCAAAACAAAAUUGAUAUAUUUCCAUCAUAGAUUGUCAUUAAUUAUUUUUUACAUCGCGUUAGUAAAUUUUGGUUAAAAGAAGAAAGAGAUUAGAAUAUCUGUAACAAUUAAAAAUGAUGUUGUAUCAUAGAAAAUAAAUAAUAAUUAUUUUCUUGGUGGUUGGUUGUAGUUAUAGAGGUGUUAGUGUAAAAAUUUAAAGAUUAGGGUUAUAUGUAAUAAUAAUUAAAGUUGGAAAUGGGAGUGAAAAAUUGUGAAAACAACAAAAAGUUAUUUUCAUUUUUUGGAAUCCAACUCCACAAUAAUUUUUUAAAUUUUCACGGCCAAACAACACAAUUUCUUAAAAAGUGAAAAAAAAUUGAAAAAAAAUAAAAAAAAUUAUAGUCAAACGAGCCCAGAUUUUUUUAGAGGAAAUGAUUCUGACGAUUGGCGUUAUACUAUGCAGACUUAAAUUAAUCAUACUUCAGUACAACUAUUAAACAUUGUUUAAGAAAAGAGGGGAAAUUUGGUGUAGAGUAAAAUAAUGACUCGUUAAGAAUUUUCACAUCUCAAAAUUAAAGGUGGUGGAGAGGAGAUGGAGCUAUUGAGAUGAAUGUGUAAACUUAUUAAGAGAGAUAAAAUUAUAAAUGAAAUUAUUAGAGAGAAGGUGAGAGUGAAUUUGGUGGAAGACAAGAUAUGAAAAGCGGAGUUGAGAUAGUUCGGAGAUAUGAUGAAGUGGUGUAUGAAUAGCCGGUACAGAGGUGUCAAACGCUGGCUAUUGUUGGUUUCAGGCGGGGAUAGAGGUAGGCCAAAAGAAUAUUAGAGGGAAGUGAUUAGAUAUGACAGGGAGUACGGAGGACAUGAUCCUUGAUAAAAAGGUGUUAGCGUAGAGGGUUAGUGGGUAAGAGUAUCCUUACUAGCAGGGAGGAGUAUUUUAUAUGUGUCUUGUAUUUCUUGUUAUAUUGUUAUUUGUCCCCAACUGAUCUAUCGAAAACAACAUCUGUACUUCAUCUGAAUUAGUGGUAUGGACUCAAAUCCCAUUUUUUGAGUAUGUUAUUAUUGUUGUUGUAGUGAUAAUAAUAAUAAAAAAUAAUUAAAUUAAUAAUAUUUAUGAUUUAAAUAAAUUGUUACUUCAUCCAACUCAAAUUAUAUGAUUUUUUUUUAAACUGUCAAUUUAUGAUUUAAGUGAGAAUAAGAAUAAAAUAAGUUUUUGAGAACUAUCACAUUCUAGAAUAGUCAAUUUUAGAUGGCACUCGUGUCCUUUUUUUUCAUCAUUAGAUUAAAAGAGUGUUUGGAUAGGAUUAAAAUCUAAUUAAACUAGAUUUUAAUUAUUUUUUUAACUUUUUUAAGUGUUUGAUAAAAUUAAAAAAAGGUUAAAAAAAGCUAAAAAUUAUUUUAAAAAAGCAAAAAUUAAGAAGCUGGAUACCCCCAACUUUUUAAUUUUUAGAUUAAAUUUUUUUUAGGUUUAAUCAAAACAUUUACUUUUUUAUCCCUUAUAUUUUCUUCUAAUUUCCAUAAUACCCUAAACUAUGUAGUCCUUAUUGAUUUUUCUUUAUUUUUCUUUCUGCUGUUUUUUCUCUUCUUUUCCCUCUAGUUUUCUCUGCAUCUUUCUCCGUUAUUUUCAGAGAAUCUAUCAUUACAUAAGAAAAUACUCAAAAAAUUUAUUGUCAAAUCGAACUUGUAUUAAGUUCUUCUCUAUCCGUUUAUAUACAAUUUUUGUGUGUUAUUUAAAUUUUAAAGAUUGAUUCUUUUUAAUAAUUUGUUUCAUUCCUAAAGAUUUUAUGUUGUUUACAAACUUGCACUAUUACAAUAUAAUACUAUAUUUAUAUAAAAAAUUUCUUAAAAUUUUUAUUUUUUAAUAUUUAAAAAUAAAAAAGUAACUUAUAUUUAUAAAUUGAUCUGGCAUAAUCACUUUAUGUUGAAAGUGUAUUUAAAUAGAAAUUAUUUUUGAAGUAUUAGAAUUAAAAAUCAUAAACAAUUCACGUUAUUAUAUGUUAACAACUUUAAGGAUAUUUAAGUCAUUUUGAAAAAAAAAAAAAGUGAUUGACAACACUUGUUUACCAACCACAUCAAUAAUUUUUUUUUAAUUUCAGCACUUCUAUCCAAACACUUAUCUGCUUAAUUUAAAAACACUUAUUUUAAACUUUUAUCCAAACGGGCUCUGAAUACACACAUUUGCUUGGAUUUAAACUUAAAAUGAAUCAGUUCUAUUCCUACUGAAAUUAAUGUAGUAUUUCAUCCACAUAUGUGAGUUUAUUAAAUAGUUUAGAGGGUUUGUUUAAUUAGCAAAAUAUUGCACUACAAUUUAUAUCGAAAUAAUAUAUGAAUAAACAUUUUAAUUUAAUUUUAACUAACAACUAAAUAUUUCAAAAUUUGAGGAUGCGUAUCUAAACACUUUAAGUCAUCCUUAGUGUGUCAGUUAAAUACUCUAAUUUUCAAAAUAUUUAUGUAGACAUCUUGCUGAUUUACGUGUUACAUCAGCAUAGAGCGUCCAUGAAAAUAAUGAGUGUGACUAUUUGUAAUAUCUAUACUAGCACUAGUGUAACAUUUCGUUUUACCACCUAGUUAUCUUAACGGAGAAGUUUGAUUUUUUUUUUUUGGAUAAAGUAUGAAAAAAGUUUGAAAGCAACCACACAUAAAUUAAGCAAAUUGCUAAUUUAAUUGGAUUUGAUUUCAUUGGUUAUCUAUUAUGUAACCUUUUUUGCUAUUAGGGCUAUCUAGUAGGCGAGUACCUUUUUCAAUGUUGUGAUUUACCGAGGUCAAUUUUCCUAAACUUUAAAGUCAAAUUAAAGAUAGAUUAAUUUAAUAUUUUAAAUUAAGAAAAAUGCUUUAUUAUCAAAUUAAAUUAUAUGUGAAAAGGUUGAGAUACACUCAAACUUUAGAAGGAUCCUAUUACUCUGAACUAAUUAAAAUCGUAUUUUUGACAAUCUUAGUGCCUAUACGACAAAUACGUGACAAACACACCGAAAGGUCCACGUAAACACACGUGUGUGCCACAUAAGCACUAAGAUUGUCAAAAAUACGAUUUUAAUUAGUCCAGGGGUAAUAGGAUCCUCCUAAAAUUCGGGUGAUGUCUCAGCCUUUUCGCGUAUAGUUUAAGAUGAAAAUAGAGCAUUUUCUCUUUAAAUUAUAAAUUUAAAUACUUAAGAAUUAUAUGAAAAAUGUCAUAAGUGAUAAUCCUAAAAUUUUUUACCAAAGCUUAUAAAAUUUAUUUUUCUAAAAAUGAAAUAAGACCAGUAAAAAUGAAUGUAUGGAGUCCUAUUUUAGGUUUAUGUUGAAGUUGAGGUACAUUGGAUUUCCUUUUUUUUUUUUUUUCUUUUUCAAUUUUUACCCUGUAUUCAAAAUGGUUAAAACUUACGCGCACCCAAUGUAUACAUUAAAUCAAUACAUGCAUGUCAUGUAUUUGAAUUUAAAGUUUAUGUUACUUAAUCAUGAUUAAUUAACAUAUAUUUUACUCGAUUUAAUUACUCAAUCAUGAUAAAAAAUAUUAAUUUAGUGUAUAUACCGGGUACGUAUAAGUUUUUAAUGUUUAAUACUGUGUUGAGAUUCGACUACAUCAAAAUUUUGACAGUGUCUCUCAAUAAUUUUUUCUUUAUUGUUAAAAAUUUAAUUAGUUGGUACAUUGGACGUAACUUGUGCAUGGUUCAAUAUAGAAAUGUAGUUAAAUCAAGUAUAUAUAUACAUUUAAAUCAUAUAUAUAGUGGAACUUUGAUUCUUAUAGUAGGUCCACUAAAAUUAUUAUACAAGUAGUUUUGGUUCGUCAAGAGUGCGUAAUUCUUUUUACUAUUGCAUUUUGGACCACAUAUAAUAUAAUGGGAAAAAAAUACUACUACUUUAUAAGAAUUUCCUUUCUCAAUAAGAAAUUUAAUUCAACUGAAAUUAGAAAAUCUGUUAAAGUACUUCUUUCUUGAAAAAGAUUAAAAGGACCAAAAAUUAAUUUAUCAGCAAAUUCUGUUCCCCUUUAUGUGGGAAAAAUAAACUGUGAAAAAAAUGCAUUUUUUCUCCACUCAAAUAACGGCAGUGCCAAUAAGCUUUAAAAAUUGAAAUAUUUUCUCCGUUUUAAAAUAGUUGAUCGUUGUUAAUUUGACAUUUUGUUUCAAAAAAUAUUUAUAAAAAUUGUUUUAUCAAAUUAACCUCAUUGAUUAUGAUUUAAAAUAUAAAUUUGAGUAUAUAUUACGGAUUAAGAUAGAGGACUAGUAGGUAAGAGUACGUUCGUAAUAGUAAAAUAAAGUGCUUUGUUUAUAUUGGUGCUUGUAGUCUCUUGUUCACAGUGCUUUGCUGAGGUUUAUGAUUUUGUAUAGUAAGUUUAUAAUAUUAGUUCGUGGGUGUCUUAUUUUUUUUUUAUGUCACCCCUUGUUUGUUGAUUGUUUUUAUGUUCUGUUUAUAUUUGUUACCUGUCCUGAGUCAGGGGUCUGUCGAAAACAACAUUUCUACUUCAUCUGAGGUAACGAUAUGAACAACGCACACUCUACUCUCCCCAAACACCACUUUGUAGGAAUACACUAGAUAUGUUAUUGUUGUAUUUUGUUUGAUCAUUUAAUGAUAGGGAUAAUAUUGAAAGAACGUAAUAAUAUUCUCUUGAUUUCAUAAAAGUAAUAACAAAAUUGAAACAAAUAUUUUUAUAAAGAAGAUCAACUAAAACAAAACAACACAACAGGAGUAAUAGGAUAAAUUCUAAGUGCAUGGCACAGACUCUUCACUUUUAAUGUCGUAUUCAUGUUAGAUUUUUUAAAAAUACAUUAUUUUUGAAGAUUUUAACACGUAUUUGAUGAUAUUUGAAAAAAAAAAUCUGAACAACAUAGAUUGAAUUUAUAUUUAUUUUACUUAGCCCACAAAUACGAUUUCAGAAUAUAAGUAGAGCCGUAGACACAAAUUCAAAAUUCAAAAUUUAUGAUUUUUUAGCUAUUUUAUUUUGUUUUGUUUAAAAAACUGUUGUCAUUUGUGCCAAGAAGAAUCAUUCCCUUAUUAAAAUGUAAAACAAAGCUUAAGCAAGUUUAUUUCUAUCUCUCAACUAAUAGACUACUAUUGGUUCCUAGUGAAUAUUUUUGUAUAUAUUUAAUAAAUUUUUUUCAUAUAAAUAUAAUGUUUGUGUGAAAGUUAUCGAAUUUCUUUUUAAAAUUAUAAAUUCACAUUCUUACAUAUAAACUUAUAAUCUGUAUCAAAAGCAUUAAGUUCAGAUAAAUAUGAUAUUCUAUACUAAUCUAUAUAUAUAUAACUCACACACUGAUUAUGUAUAUAUUAUAUAGGCGUUUGGUCAUGAAAGUAAAAAAUAUUAGAAUUGGAAGUGUAUUUAGCCAUUAAUAUAAAUUGAAGUUACUUUUUAUUUUUGUUGGAGAAGUAAAAGUGAAAAAAAAAAUGAAAAUCAGUUGAAAUUUGUGUUCAGUUUUUCAAAUAUAACUUCAAGUUGCAUCUGAAAUUUUUAUAAUCAAACAUCAUAUUUUGAAUAAAGUUAAAAAAAUUUGAGAAAAAAGUAAAUAUUUCUGCCUAUAUAUGAAUCACACAUAUAUGUACUACAUAUUUAUCAAUUAUUAUUAUUGAGGGAUAUUUUAGUAAAAUUAAAAGCCAAUGAAUCAUUGAAAAAAUAUAUUGGCAAAGUUUUCUCAUAUUUGUGAUGCUUUACAGUUGGUCAUUCUUGUCAUUUUGCUAACUGUUGCUCUUUAAAGUUGGUACUAAAAUGUGAGGACUUUAAAGAUUAUUGUACUUUCCUUUUUUCUUUUGAAAGGUGCAUCACUCUCUGUUUUUUGGUUUAAACCAUUCGGUGUUCGGUAUUCACUUUUUAGGAGUCCGAUUAUUUUUGAAUUUACCUCGCAUCAGAUCCCAUUUGGAGGGGGAAGAGCUCCCAACAGAGUGUUUGUUCAUACCCAGGGUCAAACCCUCGACCUAUGGGUAGAUUGGGGCAGCCCCUUUCCUCUGCGCCAUCACUUUCUUAAAGGUGCAUCACUUUCACAAUGCCAAGUUAGGAUUUAGAGCUUUUCAAAAAAGUAUAUAAAGUAAGAAAACAAGUUUAUGUGAUUAAGUUACAUGCAAAGUAAUUUAAGAUUUAAAUUUUAUGAAUUUUGAUAUAAAAUUGUAUCGUAAUUAACUUAUUUUACUAGUAAUUCAAAAUGUAUUAUGUGUGUUUAUUGACAUGCUUGAGAUAGCAGCACUAUUGGAUUAGAAUAAACCGACUUCGCUUCGAUUGAAUUUCUGAUGACACUGAUGAAUCACGUGAGUUGUUUAGAUUUUAGAUGCGUGACAUAGAGGGUUUGUAGUGUUUGUUAGUGCAGAUACUUAGUGAUUUAGGAGAUUGACCUAUAUAAUAAAAAUAAUUAUUUCUACUUAUAAGAGGGACUUUCUAGAUAUCAUUCAAAAUUCAUCUAACAUAUAUGCCCAUGGUCUUUUGUCCGCUUCGAUAAAUGAGAAUUUUUGAUAAAAUUGAUGAAUCUCGUGAAUUGAUUAGAUCUUAAAUGCGUGAGAUAGGAGGUUUGUAGUGUCUGUUAGCGCAGAACGUAGUGAAACGGAAGGAGUCUAUACCAACUCCCUUUUUUCUGAAGAUUAUACUCAAACGAAAUUAUGUAGCUACCGUCCGCCUAACGCGCUUUGAUCUAUUUUGACCUAUACAAUAAAAGGAAUUCUUUCGAAUAAGAGGGACUUUCUAGAUCAUUCAGAAUUCAUUUAACAUAUAUAUAUGCCCAUGGUCUUUUGCUAUAAGUUCCUACUUUGUUGACUCUAUAGGAUCUAAUUAAGUAUAAUAAUUAAAUAUUUUCUUUUAAGAAAAAGUAAAAAAAAAAAAAAAAUAAGUUCAUAAACAAAUAUUUGCCGUGAAACAGAACGAAGUUAGAAUUUUGAAUUAAUUAAAUUUAUAAAAUUAGUAUGUUGGAAAAGACAAAAUCACAUUCUUGUUAACUUAUUUAUGCAUAUUAUAAAUAUAAAAUCUACAUCAAAAUUAUUGAAUCUGGUCAAAUUUGUAUUCCACCAAUAUAGAAAUCUUAUUGGAGAUAAAUUAAACCAUGAUUUUGUCUCCCUUGUCUAUGAAUAUUCGUCAUAAAAAUCCUUUUGUAUUGAUUUAUUAAUGACCUUUUUUUUUUACAUGUAUAAUUACUAAAAAAAAAAAGUCCCAAUUCUUUUAGUUUAUUAGUAUCAAUGGAAGGUACAGUCGGGUUGCUCACGUAAAAAAUUAUUUUUAGUUCUCAUCUUUUAUAGAGAAGUAAAUUCAAACGGAUAGAACAGAUGAUCCAACUACCUAACUUUUUUCUUUUUUAUUAUUUUUAUGAUCUCAUCCCUCUGAAAAAAGUUUUAAGUUGGAAAGAAAAAGAAUACCUUACACUAGCAUAUUUUAAUAAAUAUUAUAGCAUUACUAGUGCUAUCCUACCAAAAAAUCUAUAUAUUACUUGUGGUGUACAUAGAUUUAACUAAAUUGAAUGACAUAAUUAUAUGAAGCUCUAAUCAAAUUCUCUAUGCCAUUCUACCAACUUAAAAACACUUAUUAAUUCAACAACAAUAACAAUGAACAUUUUUAAUUAAUCCAUUUGUUUAUUUUUUCUUUUGGGCUGACUUCAACAAUUAAUUAAAUCAAGCCUCCAUGAUUGACGAUUUAAUUUUUUUUUUUUGAAUAAGUAUUGACAGUUGAGGACUAUGACUUUUGAUCUUUACUAACUAUUUUUUUCAAAGAUUUCUAGAAACAAUUUUUUUUUUUCAUAAAAAAAUGUGAGGAAGAGAAGUCAAAAUUUAUUUUAACCGUUUUUAGAGAGUAUGACAAUGCUAUAUAUUAUUAUUAUUAAAAAAUAAUUACUGAAUUAGUGAAAUAAUUAGGUUCUUUCAAGAAUUAUGUAAGAAAAAAAUUGUGGAAUAACAAAUAAAUAUAUAAAAGAUUUACGUGGAAUAUUCUUUGUUGAAAGGAGACAAAAAUUACGAUCUAUUUUUAGUAAGAUUUCCCUCCUAAACUCUCCGCUAUCAUAACGCGAAUAAUUUAGUGUAUCGGGUAACUCUGUCCAUCAAGACUAGAACAAAUGAGAAAAAUCACCUAAUGUUUGUCUCUAUUGAAAAUUGAACUUGAAACUGAUUCGAACAAUAGUUACUUCAAUCGUCAACGGAUUCUUCCCCUUUUAUUCUUUUAAAAGUAAGUGAAUUUCUUAAAAGAUGUAUUUAUAAAUAAAAAAUGUCAUAUAAUAGGAAGCGAAGGAUAUACUAAGCAAGAAUUACUUCUAUUUAUUUGUCAAUGUUAUUGAAAAUAGAUAUACAACAAUUUUGUUCCGUUUAGAAUAUCACUAGAUAGUUUAUUCAUUUUAUCAUUGAUAUUGGUAUUCAUUAUUCGGAUAUUCAGUAUAUUUUUCAAAACGUUAAAUUUAUCAUAUUUAAAAGGUGAUAUAGUAAAUUUAUUCAUAUUAUUUCUUAUUUUUUAUGUAUGUCGAAUUAAUAAUGGACAAAUAUUAUUUAGCGAAAAAAGUAUUUAUCUACUGUUUUCGAGAAGCAACGUAACACACGAAAUACAAACAGAGCCCAUUCUUAAAGUGGGCCUAAAGUGUAUAAUGCUAUCAAAAAUUAGAUCUGCAAAAGUUGCUGAAGUGUACAUAUACCUAACUUUUAUGUCAUUAUUUUUGUUAUGUUUUAAAUUUAUAUAUAUAUACAAAAAAUUUCAAGACUUGUUGCUAUUGAAGAUAGUUUUGCUAAAAUCUAAUUAUAAAUAUAUUUAAAAUUUUAUAUGAUUGGAGUUCAAAUAUUUCUACUUGUUCAUCAAUUUUUUUUCUAAAUUACAUCACAAAUACUAAUAGUCUUAUUAUAUCUACAUAAAAUCCCAUAUCUUUUACAUUUAAUUAUAUCUUAUCCCAUAUUUUGUAUGUAUUCAAAAAGUAAUGUAUUCGGAGAAUUAUGUAUACAAAAAGUAAUGUAUCCAAAGAAACUUGUGCGUGAGAUUAUGUAUCAUGAGUUAACUUAUGUAUACUGAAUUAAUUAUGUUCAAGAUACAUAACAACCAACCUAGCAACUUAUGUAUAAUAAAUUAUUAUGGAUAUGGUACAUAUACUUUGAAAUAUAUAUAUGAUAUUACACAGUAUGUAUCAGCAACGCAAUGCAUCCGAAGAAAAGUAAUAUAUUCAAUUUGCAAUUUCUCAAAAAUUUGUGUAAUAUUAUAAUAAUAUGGAAUAGAAAGUAAUUACCUCUCAUAAUAGUGAGAUAUAUGUUGUUUAUAUAUUUUUUUUCUUUCAAACUUCAGUCUUAAAUGUGUUUGAAGUUCAAUCAUUUUUGUUUGAAUUUCAACCAUAUAUAACUAAAAUUUAGUUAUUUUUAUCUGAUUCAAGCUAUAAUUUCUGCACAUAAUUGAAAUUUAUGAAAAAUAUUUAAACUUGAGCAAUUUCAAACAUUGUGUAUGUCUAAAAUUUAUUGAGUCGUGGUAGACAUGCAACUUUGUUUUAAAGAAAACUAGCUCCCAUUGAGCCAUAGAAUUUUUAUUUUUAAAAUUUUAAAAUAUGAUUGGACAUGCCUUUUUGAGUAACAGUAUCCAAAUAAAAUUUCUUACUGCAAAAAGUUAGUCAACAUUUCAUGUUAUUUCUUUCUUCCAUGUCCAACAUUUGCUUUUGUGAUCUUAUCAUAAAAAACCUUUAUAACAUAAAAAAGAUAUGAAAUAAAUUAAAUCCUUAUCCGAUAGCUUAUCAACUUUUUUUUAAAAAGCAAAUCCUUUGAGUUUUCUUCUUCAAGUAACCUUUCUCUCUUCUAAUCUUUUAUUUUCCACCUUUUUAGACAAGCAAAUAUGAUAUAACUCUGAUACAUCAUUCGUUUCAAUUUGUUUGUCUUGUUCUAAUUUGACGCAAAAUUUAGAAAAUAAAGUAGACCUUUGAAUAGUGACGGAGCCAACAUCGAAAAAUAUGAACAAAAGAACGAGUCGAAUCUAAGGGGCCGGGUUCAACUUUUGCUAUAUAUACAUAAAAAAUAAUUUUAAACUUGUAUAAAUAGCAUAAUUUUUCUCCCAAACCCCCUCACUAUUAGCUAGCUCCGCCCCUGCCUUUGAAUCUUGUGAUCUUGACUGAUAUGUAUAAUGUAUCAAAAUGUCUUUUAAUAAUAUUGUGAUCCUAAACAUUUCAUGGGAAAAAUUGAAAUUAGAGAAUUAUCAAAAAAGGAAGAAUACAUUGUUUUCUAGCCGAACCAAAACGAAAAGUAGAUAAAUAAAUUAAAACGGAGGGAGUAUUUGACAACACCAUAUGUAUAAAGUAUAUAACCUAAUUUCGUAUGAUAUCUAACAAGAAAUGGCAAAAGUGAAAAGGUAGUAAAUCUCAAUCAAGACAAAAAAGUUUGAAAAAAAAAAUGAUAAUAUGGAAUAGUGAAUGUGAAAAAGCAUAGUCAUUUUCAAGUGUUUAAUUACACACCACACUUUUCUUAAUCUAGAAAAUUGUCCUUUUCAAGGAUGGGUAAUAAUACUUAUACAAGUGAAACAUUUGAAAAUGAUACAAAUAUAAGGAUUAGAUAAUAUAUAUAAAGUGAAACAUUGAAAAAUGAUAUAGCAAAUAUAAGGAUGUGUUUGGAACAAAGGAAAAUAUUUUAAAAUAUCUUUUUGAAAAAUAUUUUUUUAGGAAAAUAAAUACUUUUCUUACGUUGGUACAUAAUUGAAUGGGUUAAAGAUGAGGUACGAUAUGUGUUGCUGGUUGGAAAGGACACAAUUAACGAGGAAUGUCAUUUGUCAAACUUUAUUUUAGCAUUUUAUUAAGAAACUCAUUUUUCUCAUUUUUAAGAAACUAAUUUUCUCAGAAAAUAAAUACUUUUUAAAAAAUUUCACCAAUAGAACAUGAGAAUUUUUUAAAAAUAUUUUGUGGAUCUUUGGCACAUGUGCAACAAGUAUUUAGUUUGUUAAGGCAUGAACUUUUAUUGUAUUAUUAUUGCAUGGUGACUUCAUUGGGAAAAUGACUUUUUAGAAUAUUUCCUUCCUUAAUAAGAAAGUAUAUAGUUCAAUCCAAAUGAGAAUUUGUUAAAAAAUUAGUGACCAAAAUAAAUCAAUUAGAGAAUUUGGUUACAUACCUUUAUGAAGGAAAAGAAAAUAUAGAAAAGACAACAUCAUUUCAAUAACUGUAGGGUUAGUUGAGCUUUGAAAAUGAAGAAUUUCAUGAUAAAUAGAUGUAUAUAUUAUUCUUUUCAAUGAGCUUAUUAAUAUAGAAAUGAAUAUUGCUUAUGCAAUGCAAAAUUUAACAUGUGAUGUAUUAGGAUUGUUCAAAUUCAUGUAUAAUGAGACCAAAUAUUUGUAUCUUCUUCUAAGCCCUAGCUAGACAACAUAAUAUAGGAGCCUAAUAACGAAUAAAUAACGAAUUGAGAUGAGCAGAAUUCUGAUAUUAUGAUUAAAAUAAAAGAUUUUGAAUGUGACUCAACUUAAAGAUUAGUUCAAGAGGCGACGAGUAUUAUUGUCUAAAGCCAUGUAAUGACUUACAAUAUUCAAAUCGAUCUCACAAGUGAGACAAUUCAACAUCCUCAACACAUUUAGGCCUACCAACUGAAUAAUGGACGUAUAUAGUAUGAAGUUCAAAAAUCAAGAAUUAAAAUAAAUUUGACUCUAAUGUCAGAACUGAACCUUAAAUUUAACUUAACAACAGAAGUUAACUCAUAAAAAGAGAACCAUUUAAAUCACGUAAUAAGACCAAAUAUUCACAUUUCGCCCGUCGUCCAAUAUGCAACAAUUUAAUUGCUCGGAUCGAAUUUGAAUUAAUUGGAUCAGUAAAUCGUAAAGAAUAAAAGUACUAGUAAGAUUUAAAUCAAAAAGGAAAAGAAAAAAGAAAAAGAAAAGUGAAGCUAAAAGUCUAAUUAGUCAAUCUUCUAAGGAACACAAACAAAUUGGUCAUGGUUUACAACUGGUCGUGCUUGUCAUUUUGUUAAUAUUAUUCUUAAAGUUAGUGUGAAAUGUGACACCUUUUAAAAGAUUUAUUGUUCUUUUUAUUUUUCUUUCUAAAAGAAAAAAGAUGUAAAUAGCUUUAUGUCUUUGACCAAAAAGUAUGAAAAUAAAAAGAAAUUAUAAUGUUUAAAGUUAAAUGCACAAAGCCAUUGUAAAUUCCACACAUAUUUAUAAAACUGUGGGGGCAAUAAUCAGCUUUCAAUUAUAUUUAUGUAGACAAAAAGAAAUUAUUAAACUGAGUUGGUGCAACGAACGUGGUAUCACAUUAGGGAAUUAUUCUAAUUUGAUUUUUUUUCGAUCAAUUGAGUCGUUGUAUUCAGCUUGUCUAGUAUGAUUUACAGUCUCAUUAUGACUUAGCUAUUAUAUAAGAUAUGUUUAUUCAGUGCACAUUAAAAGAAUAUCAACUGAGACUUUCUUGGAUUUUCAAAAAAAAAAAAAAAGAAGAAGCAGAGGUAUCCAUUUAAUCAAAUAUAAAAUGGUUGAACUUCAGACAAAAUGCUUGAAUAUCAGACUAUCAGUGAAAUUAAAUUAGGGGCUGAUACAGUUUAAAAGUAAUAGAUUCAUUUACAACUCAAUGCUUUUAAAGUGGAGUAUAAUUUCAUACUAAAAUAAUUACGAAAAUUAAAAUAAAUAAUAAAUAUGAAUUCAUAAUGUAAACACCUAAUUUUUUACCAAACCUAAGUGUCUUUGCCAUUUUAGUUUUCAAUUUCGUUUUAGGGUCUAAAUUGGAUAUUUUAAAUUUAUCUUAUUUUUACUAAAUUUAUUUUAAAAAUUUUGAGAAAAACUACAAAAAAAUAGAGUCACAUUUUAAAUAAGUUUUUACUUUUAUUUUUUAGUUUUUAUUUGUUUAUUUAUUUAUUUUUAGAAAAAAAAAAAGAAAGAAAAAAAAUGAAAAAAUAAGAAAAUAAAAAUUUUUCUAAAUUAUAUUUGUUUCUUCUUUCAAUUUUUAAUAAAGAAUGUUGUGAUAUUAAUAUUUCUUAACCAUAUUCCUAAGACUAGCUAGUCUUGUAUUUUGUUAGUUUUAAAAUAGAUUUUNNNNNNNNNNNNNNNNNNNNNNNNNNNNNNNNNNNNNNNNNNNNNNNNNNNNNNNNNNNAAAUAAUAAUAAUAAUAAUAAUAAAAAAAAAAAGGGGGAAUCCUAAACUACCCGAACCACCCACAAGCCCCACUCUCACAAACCUCUCCCCCAUUUUCCAAACAUACACACACGACACAAACACACACACACAUACACAUUAUAUAUAACACACACACAUGCACCAUACAAAAGGGGGGAAAAAGAAAAAGUCAGUACAAAAAGAAAAACGUUAAGAAAAAGCAAAAGAAAAACGUUAAGAAAAGAAGGAAAAAAAACAAAACAAAAAGCAAAAAAAAAAAAAAAACAGAAGAAAGGAAAAGAUUAGAAAAAAAAAAAAAAGAGAGGAAAAAGAGUUGUGAGUUGAGUUUUGGUCUACUCGAGGUUUUCGUUCGGUUGUUUGUUUGUCAUCGAGGUCUCCAACGUAAAGGUCCAUUCUUUACUUAUAUUUUGUUUGUAAUUUCUAAGUUAUUUGAAUGAAUUAAAUAAUCAAAUCCUCUUACCUACGAGUAUUGUAGGAAAGUUGGGAUCAUAAUAAAGUUUACAUGAUUCGCAUUACAUCUCGAUGUUUCAUUUUCUGUUAAUAUAAAGUUUGAUUAUAUUGUUAAUUAAUUGAUUAUUUCGGGUAAAAAUUGCUCGAAAUCAUUAUUUAGUUUAGCGACAUAACGAGUAGACAACAAGUUAAAGUUUGGGGUUUGAUUCAUGAUUUUAUGUCGCUCUCCGUUGUUUUGUUGUUAAUUAUUUUCACAAGAGAUAACGUACAUUGAGAUUAUACGAGACUUGAUUCUAGCAUUACUAAGUUGCUCAAAUUUCACAUGUGUUAACGAGUUAUGAAUCUUCGAUGCUAUAAUAUGAUUAGGGAGUAUUUUUAUAUUUUUGUAUAGUUAAAUUUAAAUUAAAGUUGGUAUCAUAAUAUGCGCUUUCUUGCACUUCAAUCUAAGUUACUGUCUAAUUCAAAUUAUGUUUUUGGCGUAAAGUUCUUUUAAUCAUGUUUGUCUAUGAGUUUAUUUAAAAUUUCAGUUACUAAGAUCUUUUCUUACAGUGUGUUAACCUUACUAUUUUAAGUUAGAAUUUNNNNNNNNNNNNNNNNNNNNNNNNNNNNNNNNNNNNNNNNNNNNNNNNNNNNNNNNNNNNNNNNNNNNNNNNNNNNNNNNNNNNNNNNNNNNNNNNNNNNNNNNNNNNNNNNNNNNNNNNNNNNNNNNNNNNNNNNNNNNNNNNNNNNNNNNNNNNNNNNNNNNNNNNNNNNNNNNNNNNNNNNNNNNNNNNNNNNNNNNNNNNNNNCGAGUUUCUAAUUAUCUUUACUUUUACAUUCUUCUCUAAAUAUGCUUAAGGCCCAAUCAUUAGUUAACGUGAAAAAGAGUAAGAUGAGUUCCGAAUUUAUUCAAGACUCGUUGCUAUUGAAAAAAGAGAGAGAGAGAAAACUCAUUUGCAAGGAAGCGGACUUAUAAAAGAACAAGUUAGGUUCUUAAUCUCAAAUAAAUUAAGUUUUAAUAUACAAGCAAAAAUUGACGAUGAAGUUGGAAAGCCCUGCUACCGACCAUUCGUCAUAAUUAAAUUAAUUUAACAUUUGAAGCCAAUUGAAUUAGGUUGGGGAGGUUUUAAACCCAUUAGGUGCUUAUUUAGAUUAGGAAAAUAGGGACGACUUAUAAAUGCCGUAAAGGCGCGAGAAACGUGCCAAAAUUUGUGGUGAGGCCGAAAAGUACUACUAUCGGUAAGCCACACGUCAAUAUAAUAAAUAAUUUCAAAAUAAAUUAAAAGCGGGAGGCAAACAACUUUUAGGUUAACAAAUAUUAUGAAUCCUAAAAAAAAAUAAAAAAUUAUUUUGAGCCAGACGUAAGUCAUUAAAGCGACCGUGCUAAAACCACGAGACUCGAGGUCUAGUUCGCAGACGAAAAAACAAAAAUUGAAGAGUCAUUUCCUUUUGAAUAGGGAUUCAAUAAGGUGACUUGGAACACCCAAACUCAAUUCCAAGUGGCGACUCUGUAAGUAAAGUAAUCCCUUUUCAAAACGUCACUUUAAUUGGAAAAACCCAUUUUCUCUAAAACCAACUCCCUAGCAGGGUUGGACGCGGUGAAAAACCGAGGGUGUGACACAUAACUUUAAGAAUAUAAUAAAUUCAAUCCUAAAAAUCUCUAAGGUUAAUUAAACCCAUAAAGUAAAUAUCCAGGAUUCGCAUCUGCAUGAAAUUUAAGUAAAUUCCUUAAGUGGUCACUCGUGUUUGAGAAAUUGCUUACUAAAAUAGCUUUUGUUUUUAAUUUUAAAAUUACAUUAUCACCGAACUAUUAAUAUUUUCCUCAAAAGUUCAAGUAUUAAGAAGAUCACAUUGAUGGUGUGGGAACACUCAUCUACUCCAUCCGUGUAUUUUUACUUAUAUAUAUAUAUAUAUAUUAAAAAUAGUUAUUCAAUUUUGCUCAUUCAAUUUAAAAAAUCAAGAGAUAAUUUAUUAUUUUAUAUCUAUUUUUACUCUUAUUGUAAAAUUCUAUUCAAUUCGCAUCAAUUAGAUAAGGGCAAAAUUUAGAAAUAGCAUACUUAUCCCCUUAAUUAUGAGUUUUAUAGCAACAAUUUCAUAAUUACGUAAUAUAGCAAGUUAUAUUUUAUAUUUUUACAAACUAUUGAUACUAAAAUACAAAUACAUAGGAUUUUUACUAUCCUUAUGAUCGAUAUGUAUUUUGUAUUUUUGCAAACUAUUGCUAAAAAAAUACAAAUACAUACAAAUACAUAUGUUACAAAAUAUAAUUUAAUAAAAGUGUUGUUAUUUUUUAUAAUUUAAUACUCAAGUAUGCUACUUUAUACUAUAUUUUUUCCAUUAGAUAAUUUAACUAGCUCAACUAGCAUCAUUGCUACUAAUCUUUUGGACCAUUUUUAUUUGCCCAGUCCAAUUCCAAUGUCCAACCCAAAAUAAAUAAGUCACCAUAUCCAUUCGGCCCUAAAACUUUUGAGUUUUCGGGCCCCAUACCAAAAAAAUAUAUUUAGGGACAGUACUUUAAUUGUCGCUAAAUUAUACACCCCCUGUUUCAUAAUAAAUGAAUUAUUGAAAUUUCGCACAUAAAUUAAGAAAAAAAUAUUAAAGAUAUAAAUUUAACAUAACUUUUCAUUUUUACCCUAAAAAAAGAAAAAACUGAUCUUGAUAAUAACUUUUCAAAAAUUAAUUAGUUGUCAAAUCAUUAGGGUAAAUUUGAAAAAAUAUUCAAUGAUUCACUUAUUUUAAAACAGCAAUAAAUACCCCAACAAUUUAUUUAUUCUGAAACGGAGGAAGUAUUUGUUUGGUAACAAUGAUUAAUGACAGUUAUAUUUUAAUAAUUUUUAUUUUGUAAAGGAAUAAGGAUCAAAUAUGCUCCUAAACUUUGUGAAAAAUUUAUAAGUUUAGUCCAUUAAUGUCCUCAGUGUUAAAAUUUAGGAGCAUAUAAACCCCUUUGAACAUUAAAUAAUGUGUUGGAUAUUUACAAGCAUCAUUUUUCUUUUUCUUUUUCUUUUUUUUUUUAAAAUAUUUUAAUUGCCAUAUAAGCAAAAUAAUUACUAUAUCACAAAAAAAAAAUUCAUCCAACUCUUCUAUAAUCUGAAUCCGACCCUCCAUUUUGAAUCAACCCAUCACCCAAUCCAAGAUUCACACCAUUUUGAACUUGUAUAAUACUCCUUCCAUCCCAUUUUAUCCGUCUCAAAUUUUCUAAUUUGAUGUUCCAUUUUACUUCUCGUUUUUUACUUAUCAAGAUAAGACAAUUUUAUUUUCUCCAUUAUACCCUUAGUGUAAUUGAUUACUCCUUGUUAUUAGCAUUCUUGAAAAGUGUUGCAAAAUUUUUUUGAACUAAUAACAAUAAAAGUACAUCAUUAAGAAUAUAAAUAGUGCUUUGAUAUUAGUCACUCAUCAAUAUUGAAAUCAAUAACAAUACACAAUUAAAAGGGUGAAAUGGUAAAGUUACAUUAUUAAUCAUUAUUUUCUUAAUAGCUGCAUCCAAUUUAGAACGAAUAAAAUGGAACGGAGGGAGUAAGUAGUUAAACAGGUUGUGAAAACAAGAUAUCAGCUGAUAUACGUUUAAGAGGUGGAAGAAUUGAUUGUUGUUAGCAUCUAAAAAAUCACUACUUGUAAGGAUCCUUAUUCAUCAUUCACGAAAUUCAAUAACAAUUUUCUUCUUUCUUACUUUUUAUUCUAAAUUCAGCUAAACACUUCGACUAACAACCCUAGUUUUAGUUUUAGUUGGGCCAAAAUUCAAGAUCAAUUGCAGAAACUAACAGAAGGGAUCAUGCAUACGGCCGAAUGAAAUCAAUAAACUGAUAAGGAGUUGGGAGAAAUCAGAGAUGCGCUUGGAUUCAUGGAUCAAAGAGGAGUAGAGAGAGAGUAAACUAGACCUGAGCACGUUAAUGGCAGAGCAAGUUCAGGGGAGAUGCAACAAGAAGGAAAGAAUCGAAAGUUUCGUCAAAGCUCCGGCUCUCAUCGGUAUUAAAGGGGUGUGGAUUUUGGGUCGGGUCAUGGGCUGGUUCAAAAUGAUGGGUUGAAUUUAGAUUGUAGAAGAGUUGGUGGAUUUAUUUUUGUGAUGUGAAAAUUAUUUUGCAUAUGUGACAGUUAAAAUUGAAAAAAAGAAAAGAAAAAAGACUUGUAAAUUUUCAGCACAUCAUUUAACGUGUAAAGGAUAUGUAUGUUCCUAAUCUUUAACAACGAGAGUAUCAGUGAACUAAACCUGUAACAAAUGGUGUAUUUUAUUUUUUUUUUGUAAAGUUUAAGGGCAUAUUUGAUCCUUUUCGUAUUUGAAAAUCACUACAAAAAUGGGUCAAAUUGUGGAGGUUGAUUUUAAGGUUUACGGGAGUUUUAAACCCCUGCAAAUUAUGAUUUUGGCGAUUUCCAAAACCCCCACAAUACGAGCCGUCACAAAUAAUUUGCGGAAGUUCUUUUUUGACCCUCAUAAUUAAUUUGCAGGGUUAUUUUGCGGCGAUCGACAUUCGUUACUCUAAAUUUAAUUUUUUUUACAAUAAAUUUUUCUUUAAAAAUUGUGCGGUUUAAAACUUCCGCAUUUUAAAAAAAAAAAAUUAGUGGGACCCAUCAAUUUUUAAUAACAAAUUAUAAAUUGUAAUUUUAGCUCAAUUUUUUUUUGGUACCUGUACAAUUUUAUUUCAUUACCAAAGCAACAUUACAAUCCAUUUACCAGCCUAAUGACAUAGAUUGGCACCGUCGUAACUCACUACUCGAUCAGACUAUUAACACUGAAGGUAAUAGUUCAGAUCUCUAACCAUAUUUGCUAACUUAGACUUAGUCAUAGCAAGACAUAUAACAUCCUGGAUCACUUCUCUAACAACCUUCUUCGGAGGUGUUACAAUCUUCUUAUAGAUUCUACAGUUUCUCUCAUUCCAAAUGUUGUAAACACAAGCUGCAAACAUCAUCUUGUAUAUAUGUGCUUUUCCUGAUCGACCAUUGGCAUUUUUUACCGUCCACUCUAUUUCAUAUGCCCAGGGCAGUGCACUCCUUGGUAUACUCAACCAUCUGAGUAGCGCAUUCCACACUUUAGCAGAAUAAGCACACUAGAAGAAUAGAUGUUCCACAUUUUCCUCCUCUGUUCUAUACAAAACACAUGUGCUAUCCACAAGUAACUUCCAUUUAAUCAACCUAUCUUUGGUGCACAUUCUAUUCAUGAUGGCCAAUCUUAAGAUAAAUAUCCAUUUUGCAGCCCCAUAGUUAUUACACAUUAUCUUUUUCCAUGUCACUUUCUGAAAAUCUAGCAAUUUUUUAUACAUCUUCCUGAUGGAAAAACAUUCCAAUCUUUUCAGAUCAUUCAAGGUUAUUCCUGCAGCUUGACAAUAUUUGUGAGCCUUAAAGAUUUUCUGCAUCACCCAGGAAGCUUGCUUAGACAUAACAUCACCAUAGGAGCACCCUUGAUGUAAUAGGAAUAAACCCAUUGCACCCAGAGUUUGUCCUUUUUCCUACAGAUAUUCCAGAGUAGCUUCAUGAUUGCAACUUUGUUCCACAACUUAAGGCCAAUCAGAUUUACUCCACCAGCAACCUUAGGGUUGCAGAGAGAUUCCCAUGCUACAAGAGCUUUUCUUGAAACUUCAGCACUUCCUAUCCAAAAGAAUCCCCUGCAAAUGCUUUCCAUAACUUGUGUAACACCUUUCGGCAGUACAAAAAUCUGUGAUCAAUAAGUUUGCAUCGAAAAUAACACACUCUUAAUCAACUAUAAUCUGCCUGCAUAAGAUAGAUACCUAGAUGUCCAAGAAGUGACUCUAUUCAAUAUUUUUUCCACUAGUGGCUGGCGGACAUCCUUUUAGUACCAAGAGGCACCCCUAAAUAUUUGAAAGACAUGGACCCUUCACCGAAUCUAAGUACCUGCAGUAUUUGGUGUUUGGCUUCACUCUUCACUCCUCCAAAAUAUGCUAAAAUCUUGCUAGGAUUAGAUUGCAGCCCUGACACUUCAGAGAACUUAAAGUAGCACUCGUAAAGUUUAGUAAUAGAUUGCACAUCUCCUCCGCAAAACAACAAUAGAUCAUCAACAAACCCAAGUUGUACCAAUUUGAGUUUCGUACACUUAGGAUCGUAUUUGAAUUGAUCUUGUGCAUCAAGUCCCUUCAGCAACCUUGUCAGAUAUUCCAUUACUAUUACAAAAUGAUAGGGGGAUAUAAGGCCCCCCUGCCUCAAGCCCCUCUUUGCAUGGAAAAGAGUUGUCGAGAUACCAUUUAGCACCACAGAAUAAGAAACUGUACUCAAACAUUGCAUUAUCCAGCGGACAAAUAAUUCAGGGAGAUUUAGUGCUUUAAGUAGCUGCUCCACAAAAGGCCACUCCACAGAAUCAUAAGCUUUCUGAAUGUCAAUCUUUAACAUACACCUGAGAGAGACUCCUUUCCUUGCAUAGCCUUUAACUAAUUCAUGACUUAAUAUUAUAUUGUGUAGACACCUAAUUUUACCCUUCCCAAAACCCAAUUCAUCCAUUUUUAUGUCACGUUAUCAUAUACCCUCACCCAUGUGAUUACACCCCACAAAAAUACAAAAAAAAUUAACAACCCUUAACAAAUCUCUAACAAACUUUAUCUUAUUUUAAUCAUCCUAACAACCUAACCUUACCCCACAUCUACGCCACCUCACCCACGUAACCACUCCUCCCCAUAUUUCUUUUCCACAAAGGAAAAGAGCAUAUACACACAUAAAUUCCAUCCAAUUGGUGGCCCACAGUGAAGAAAAACAUAUACAAAAGGCCAUUCAUUUUUUCUUUUCUUCUUGACCAAUUCAUAUAUACAUAGAACAAACAAAAUACAAAAAUAGACACCUCACACCAUUAACAGAGGGCAACACACACUUGCCCUUUCGAAUAAAAACCUCACUGAAGUACUCACAGAGGGAGAGCACACUGACCCUCACGCAUAUCACACACACACACUUUAUUUUUUUUUUCUUCUCCACCGAGAAAACACACCCAGAUAUACACCAUUACACCACUCACACGGAGAUGGAAUACGUGCACACUCUCACUGAUUGAAGAGGUCACCAUUUUUCUAUUUUUCUUUAACAACGCACGACAACACCAUGGAGAGAAUACCUACAAAAAUAGAGAAAAGAAAACUCAAAUAAAACACACUACAAAUUGAAACCUCACCGGAAAAGUUCACUCACUCACUCACGAAUAGCUCACCAUACGCACACACGCCGUGUAUAAACACGCCACACACUGAAAACCGAGAGUUGAGGGUGUGAUCGGAGUAAUCGAGAAAGUGCGAUUCGAGUGAGAGAGAGAUCAAAACAGAGAGAAGGAUCGAAAGAUUGAGAGCAAAACACAAAGGGGAACCGAUUGGGAAGGAGGGUGGUGCGAUCGGAUUCCGGCAACGUCCAUCGAAAUCGUGGUUUGGUUCGGUUCUGCCUGAAAUCGGGUCGGGCUUUGGAUUUAUCCGUCUUCGCGAUUCAUUUUCAAUAUUGUGAUUCUCGGGUUACUCGAUUCAUGCCCGCGGAUUUCUGUUCGAAUUGGAUUUCGUGAAUAUUCCGUGUUUGGAGUUCGGUUGAUAGUCGAGUCGGUAUUCGUUGAGGUUCUCAGUACGGCUCUUUAUUCUCUUAUUCAAAUCAAUCGAAAGAGUCAUUGAGGUCCAAUUCUAUUUCAUUCUCAUUUUGAUUUCAUUAUAUACGCAUGAUUGAUGGAUAUCAUCUCAAUUUUCUCUUAUUUUAGGUGUGAUAUGAAUGAUUAAUUUGGAAUUAUUUGAUUGUGGAUUUUUGAAAAAUGGUAAUCGUGAACUGUUAUAUUGCAACUUUGAAUAAAAUUUGGGGGAAUUGAUAAUCGAAUAAGUAAAACGUUGAUUAGUUUUGAUUCAUUGUUGGAUAUUAUUGAAAUUGAUAGUAUCAUGUUUUAGAUCGUUAAAUGUGUAGGCAAAUACUAAGUUUGGGUAGGCAAAUUGUAGAAAUGGAAGAUGGUGACUUGUGGAAUGUGUGAAUAUUUGUUGAAUGGUUCUUUCUAUUUUAACGCAUAAAAUUGAGGAUGUAUUCAUUUUGCCGGGGAAUGCCCCGAGGUACUUGUAUCCAUUCAUCGAGAAAUAUUCCGACAUAUCAUGUACGCAAAGAAGGUUCGUGAUGAAGGCUUGAGGCAUCGGGUAAAGCAUUGGAGUAUAGUUUAGGAUUAGUCUAAAUAGGAUUUCUAUUUUUGUAUUGUUCUAUUUUUGGACUGUAUAAUUCGUACUGGACAUUAUUUUGAUUUUUGAAUUUUGAAUUGCAUGACAUGUACUUACUUUUUUUAAUAUGUGAAUGUGAAUUAGUUGAUUAACUUAAUUAUUUUAUGUAAAUAUUAAUGGCCUAAGUUUUGCCUAAAAUUGAUGAAAUUAUAUAAAUAAAGAAUAUCCCGACCGACACCCAAAAAGCAAAAUUUUCACUAUUUUUUUUUUGUUAUUUAUACAAGUGUGAGAAUAUAAAAUACAAUAUAAAAUUUAAGGGCCUCUUUGACUGCAACUCCCGACGAAUAUUUCAAAAUAACCUGUAUAAACACUAAAAAAAAAAGAAUAUUAGUAACAAAUAAUCAAAAUAAAUUGAACAAGCAUCAAAAUAAAUUGAACAAGUGUGUAUGCGUAUAAAUAUUUAAAAAUAUAUUUUUUAUUAAAAAGUGGGCUCAGAUAAUGUCAUGACUGCGAAAUGGUUGCUCAAUUAAUUGGCCGUUCUAAAUCGUCUUGCAACGAAGUGGUUGCUCAAUUAAUUGGCCGUCCUAAAUCGUCUUGCCAAGAUAUGAAUUGUAAAAUCUUGUGUUAUAAAGUUUCAUCAUCGCCCAAAAAAUAUUUAUUUAUUACGUAUGUAUACGUAAAAAGUCCGUCUUUUGUUUACGGAUGCCUCAAAAUUAAUAAUAAUUUUUUCAUUGGCCAAAUGUGUAGUAUCCAUUCACCAUCAGUGUAAAUAAAUGAGAAGGACAAAAAUCGUUCAAAAAUCACUCCAACAGCAGCAAACUCAAGGCAAACAAAAAUGGUCAAUAACAGUGAUAGUAAAAUAGCAAAGCUAACAGAGACAAACUCACUAUCUAAUUAAUUCAAAUAUCCAUCCAAACGGCUUUGACUAGAUCUGUGUAGUAAGAAAAAUAUUAGAGAAAAGGGGCGGCUCGUGGCUGUUUCUCGAUGUUGGUAGCGACUGUUGUAGUGGUUGACGGCGGCAGAUCUGGGAAGAAAUUCGAUGCUCAUCGGUCAUCACCUCCGGCUAGCUUGCGGCAAAAUGUAAAGGGAAAGCUUGUAGCGUGGGGGGUGGUAUUGUCGGACGGCUGUUUCAGGGAAGAAAAUUGUGUGGAGGUGGCGCGUGAGAUUGGAUGAACUGUUGAUAUCUACGGAGAAGACGAAAGCUUAAAAAUGAAAACUGUGUAGUAGGCAUCUAUAUAUAUAUUUAUAUGUGUGUCAUUGCUGUUGAUGGUAAAAAAUAAAACAAAAAUGGAGGUUGUUUUUCUAUGUAUGUGUGUGUUUAUGUGUUUUUAUAUAUAUUUUUUGUGAGUUUUUGAAGAGAAAAAUGAAAUAAAUAAAAUAUGCUUGUAUAUUUAUGAAUAUGUGUGUGAGUUUGCAAAGAAAAAAUGUUUAUGAGUUGUAAAAAAUAAAUAUAUGUGUAUUUUGAUAGAGAGGAAAAAAAUGAACAAAAAUGUGUGUCCAAAAUGUGUCCUCCCACCAGCUAUUUAUACAAAAAAUUGAGCACACCUUUUAUCCAAUGUAUAAAGGAGUGUCCUCUCUUUUUAUAAUAAAACACUCUUAGGUCCUUAAGUUAUUGGCCAAAGGAUUUUCAUCCUUUUGACCAAUGGACAAAGUAAUUAUCCAAAGGGUAGUGUCAUUGAUUGGUCGUUGUCAGAUGUGAUGAGACAACACUGAAUGGUCAUUUUCGGACGUGACAAGACAUUAUUGUGUAGUCGUUGUCGGAUGUGAUAAGACAUCGAAUUAUUAUACUGCACAAAAAUAAUUGAUCCGAUUGAGUAUUUGCGGACUGUAAAAUAUAGAUGUUGAAUGAAAAAUGUAAAGAAUAUUAAAAUAUAAUUAAUUUAAAAAUACUAUAUAUAUAUAUAUAUAUAACGUCAUGUCGUGCACAUGCGCAAAUAUUUGUAAAAUAAUAAAUUGAUAAGAAUAAGAAAAAUUAUUAAUAAAUUAUAAAGAGUAAAAAAUCCUAAAGUAAGGAUGAAAAUCAAUAAUUUGUUAUCAAUUGUAAAAAAUAUGUGGAAGUUGUAUUUUGUGUCUUUUAACGGUCAGGAAGCCUGAAUACGUUAUUUUUAAGCACGGAGAGCAAAAAUUGGGUGUCAACAACUACGCGUGACCUGAUUCUCCCCUCUCGGAGGUGAGAUACGUAGGCUGCCCUAUUUUGGGAUCGUCCAACCAAAUAAAUAAUUUAGAAUCACCCAAUCAAAAGAAACUGGGGCAUGAUUUAAUCCUCGUUGUUUAAGUCGAUUCCAAAAGUUGUAAGUCCCACCCUACUUCAAGUGUCGUUUGGGCCUCAUGUCAUCUUUUUCUUCUAACCUUAUUCAAAAGCCAAGCUACAACCAAAGAAAGACCUUCAGAUCAAUCUUUGAGAAUGUUAAGACUAAGCAUGCAAUGAAUGAGAUGACACAUUUUAGGAACUACUUGUUUACCUCAGCAAUAAGAAUCGGAAUGAGAGAGUCUUAUUGGUGAAAACCCUCACGGGUACCGUAAGGCGAUGGUAAGUUGAGAGAAAUAAAAAUGAGAGUCUUAUUGGUGAAAACCCUCACAGGCACCAUAAGACGACUGUGAGUUGAGAGAAAUGAAAAUAAGAGAGUCUCAUUGGUGAAAAAACCUCACGGACAUAAAGGCAAUGGUGAGCUGAGAGAAAGGCAGAGGCUUGUUGGCGAAAAACCUUCAAGGCGCCACUAGCCGAAUGAGAUCUAAAUACAAUUGACCUAAGGAAGCAACUCAGUUUUGAGGCCAUUAACUCAAAAACAAUUGGUAGGAAGUUUGGAUGAAAAGGUCAAGCUGCUUAAUCCAAAAUGCAUGGCAUAUUCAUUAGAGUUGAUUGUCAUUUUUAGAUGAAUUUUUCAUUUCUUUGUUUUAAAGGGGGACAUUUAUUGUCGACAUUUAUUGUCUUUUCUUUCUUCUUUUUAUUUUUAUUUUAUUUUCUUUGGUCAGUUGUCCAAAUAAAAAUCAUUGUCAUUUUUAUCUUGUCUUGGAGUCAAGUCCAUGUCAAAACAAGUGAGAAAAGAUUUCAAAACUGCCUACCAGCUUCUUUAAUUGCACAAAGCAAGACAAAAGGGUCAGUACAUGAAAAAGACAUGAUUGUGAGCCGAAAUAAGGCAUACAAAAUUUUGUCAACAGACAAGUCUGGGAACUUAUGGAAAUACAAAAGAUCAAAGGGUUUAUCUGAAAAGCAUGGCAAAGCAGAGAUACUGUGUUUGUUUCAGAGUCGCUCUUAAUAAUCUGAGUUUGGGUCAAUGAUGCAGCAAGUCAAUGGCAUAUGCUAAUGGUUGGAAGCAAGGUUAAAUGUGACCGGGGCAAGAGCGAUUGCCGCGAAAGCUAAAGACACAAACCAGCCACCAUGUUUUUAAACUAACAAGUUUUUUUUUUGUAUGAAACAGGAACACAUGUUACCUUCAAAUCGAGAAUUUCAAAGCCUAAACAUCAAAAGUUGCAAUGCUCACCUACACAAAUGCAGGAGAUAAUAUUGUUGCACAGGUUUGGUAAUCAAAACCAUGGUAAAACUCAUCAUCCAAUAUCUCUAGGAGACACACUUCCUUGUUUGGAUAAUUCAAGAGACAUUUGUAAGGAGAUGCACUUCCUUGUUGGGCAAUGCAAGUGACAUUUGUAAGGAGACACACUUUCUUGUUUUGGUAAUUCAAGCAGCAUUUGUAAGGAGAUGCACUUUCACAUUUGGGUAUCUCAAGCGGUAUUUGUAAGGAGAUUCACUUCCUUAUUUGGUAAUUCAAGCAACAUUUGUAAGGAGACGCACUUCCUUGUUUGGGUAAUUCCAGCAACAUUUGUAAGGAGACACACUUCUUUGUUUGGUAAUUUAAGCAACAUUUGUAAGGAGACAGACUUUCUUGUCUGGAUAAUUUCAGCAACAUUUGUAAGGAAACGUAUUUCCUUGUUUGGGUAAUUCCAGCAACAUUUGUGAGGAAACACACUUCUUUAUUUGGUAAUUCAAGCGGUAUUUGUAAGGAGACACACUUUCUUGUUUGGGCAAUUCAAGCAACAUUUGUAAGGAGACACACUUCCUUGUUUGGGCAAUUCAAGUGACAUUUGUGAGGAGACGCACUUCCUUAUUUUGGUAAUUUAAGCGGCAUUUGUAAGGAUACGCACUUUCUUGUUUGGGUAAUUUAAGAGACAUUUGUUAAGAGAUGCACUUCCAUGUUUUGAUAAUUCAAGCGACAUUGGUAAGGAGACACACUUCCUUAUUUUGGUAAUUCAAGCGGCAUUUUUAAGAAGACGCACUUUCUUGUUUAGGUAAUUCAAAAUACAUUUGUUAGGAGACGCACUUCCUUGUUUUGGUAAUUCAAGCAACAUCUGUAAGGAGACGCACUUUCUAAUUUGGGUAAUUCAAGCGACAUUUGUAAGGAGACGCACUUUCUUGUUUUGAUAAUUCAAGAUACAUUUGUUAUGAGAUGCACUUUCUUGUUUUGGUAAUUCAAGCAACAUCUGUAAGGAGACGCACUUCCUUAUUUGGAUAAUUCAAGCGGCAUUUGUAAGGAGAUGCACUUCCUGAUUUUGAUAAUUCAAGCAACAUUGGAGCCCGCCCAAAGCACAGGGUGAAUAAAUGGAAGGUCAAAUAAAAAGGUGAAGAAAUUGAAAGUCAAAAAAUUGAAAAAUAGCAAGUCAGGAGCCCACCUGGAGAUCAGGUUGAAGAAAUUGAAAGUCAGGCAACACGUUGAAGAAAUUGCAAGUCAGGAGCCGGCCUGAAGAAUAGGGGGAUGAAACUCAAGUCAAGAGUCCAAAAGAAGCUACAUAGAUAGGAUUUUUGUAAUUUUAUUUAUGUUUUAACUUGUAAUUUUUUAUUUUUGAUGUAAUGACAGAGUCGUGGACCGAAACCUCGAUGGGACCUCACUCGACUCUCCAACUCGGUAUAGUCUCUCUUCUUCCAACCCUUUGAGAUACAUGUAACUUGAUUCCCUCAUAACUUGGGUAGAAAGGACGUCCUAAGACAAGACUUGGUUGCCUUUUUUCUUUCUGUUUCGUUCCUUGAAUAAUGGUUGGGUCAAAAUUUUGUCUCGUUAUCUACUUUUUUUUUCUGAAAACACUUUGUGUUUGCACCCAAAAAGGGGCAUGAUUUAGACACCUAAUUUUGCCCCUCCCAAAACCCAAUUCAUCUAUUUUUACCACACAUUAUCAUACACUCUCACCCAUGUGAUUACACCCCACAAAAAUACAAAAAAAAUUAACAGCCCUUAACAAAUCUCUAACAAACUUUAUCUUGUUUUAAUCAUCCUAACAACCUACCCUUACUCCACCCCUACCCCACCUCACCCACAUAACCACUCCUCCUCCACAUUUCUUUUCCACAAAGGAAAAUAGCAUAUACACACACAAAUUCCAUCCAAUUGGUGACCCACAGUGAAGAAAAACAUAUACAAAAGGCCAUUCCAUUUUUUCCUUUCUUCUUGACCAAUUCAUAUAUACACAGAACAAACAAAAUACAAAAAUAAAUACCUCACGCCAUUAAAAAGGGACAACACACACCUGGCCAUUCGAACAAAAACCUCACUGAAAUACUCACAGAGGGAGAGCACACUGACCCUCACGCACAUCACACACACACUCCAUUUUUCUUUUUCUUCUCUACCGAGAACACACACCCAGAUAUACACCAUUACACCACUCACACGGAGAUGGAAUACGUGCAUACUCUCACUGAUUGAAGGGGUCCCUAUUUUUUCAUUUUUCUUUAACAACGCACGACAACACCAUAGAGAGAAUACCCACAAAAAUAGAGAAAAGAAAACCCGAAUAAAACAUACUACAAAUUGAAACCUUACCGAAAAAGUUCACUCACUCAUAAAUAGCUCACCAUACGUACACACGUCGUGUAUAAACACACCACACACUGAAAAUAGAGAGUUGAGGGUGUGAUCGGAGUAAUUGAGAAAGUGAGAUUCGAGUGAGAGAGAUAUAAAAACAGAGAGGGGGAUCGAAAGAUUAAGAGCAAAGCACAAAGGAGAACCGACUGUGAAGGAGGGUGGUGCGAUCGAAUUUCGGCAAUGUCCACUGGAAUCGUGGUUUGGUUCGGUUUUGCCUGAAAUCAGGUUGGGCUUUGGGUUUAUUCGUCUUCGCGAUUCAUUUUCAAUAUUGUAAUUCUUGGGUUACUCUAUUCAUGCCCGUGGAAUUCUGUUCGGAUUGGAUUUUGUGAAUAUUCCGUGUUUGGAGUUCGAUUGAUAGUCGAGUCGGUAUUCGUUGAGGUUCUCGGGACAACUCUUUAUUCUCUUAUUCAAAUCAAUUGAAAGCGGCAUUGAGGUCCAAUUCUAUCUCAUUCUCACUUUGAUUUCAUUAUAUACGCGCGAUUGAUGGAUAUCAUCUCAAUUUUCUCUUUUUUUCGGUGUGAUGUGAUGAUUAAUGUGGAAUUAUUUGGUUGUGGAUUUUUGAAAAAAGGUAAUCAUGAACUGUUAUAUUGCAACCUUGAAUAAAAUUUGGGGGAAUUGAUAAUCUAAUAAGUAGAACGUUGAUUAGUUUUGAUUUAUUGUUGGAUAUUGUUGAAUUGAUAGUAGCAUGCUUUAGAUCGUUAAAUGUGUAGGAAAAUACUAAGUUUGGAUAGGCAAAUUGUAGAAACAGAAGAUGGUGACUUGUGGAAUGUGUGAAUAUUUGUUGAAUGGUUCUUUCUAUUUUAACGCACAAAAUUGAGGAUGUAUUCAUUUUGCCGGGGAAUGCCCCGAUGUACCAAAUAUCGUCAACAAUGAAAUAGAAAGAAUGAAAGAGUAGAAUUGGAUCUCAAAUGUUUCGAUUGUGGUUGCUCCUUUCGAUUAGAACCGUGUCCAAAGUCUCAAACUGAACCUCAAGAAUCAACAAGCUCAACUCGAUAUCGCAAGUCACCACCCAAACAGAUUUGAAACCAUCAAGCAAAUUCACUAUCAACUCUCGAAUCGAGGACUUCAAACAGAAAUAACAAACCCCAAAGAUGAAAUUUCAACCUCAAACCCCAAAAGUAAAAAAAAAACCCAGAUCGAAAUGAUUCAAUGAUAGACGACGACCCGAUUCCAACACAAAACCCACGAUAGACAGUGGACAAUACUCCGCUUGGUAUCGAGAAAUGAAGACCCAAAACAGACCACAACGAACCCAAAUCAAAGACAACGAACAACCCAAAUCCAAAAUGAAUCACAAAUCAAUAGCAAGAUUGCGAAUUCACAACCCAAAUUUAUUCAGACAGAUAUCGCAAAAACAAAGACCAACCCGAACCCAAUAUCGAUCUCCCUAAUCCUUCACUCACUGAUUUUUCCUAUCCACUGGUUUCUGCUUAUCUCCUUCGUUUCUCUCUCUCUCUUUGUUCUCUCUUAAUCCCCCGUCACUGGUAUGUGCGUGCGUUUUUGGGUGUAUUCGAAAAAAAAAGAAGAAAUGGGAAGGGAAUCGCGUCACCUCAUCUCCAAAGAAGGAGAAACCAACAAAAUGGCGUCACUGUGUAUCCAUCCCCCCUGGUUUUUGUAAGUGUGUAUGUAUAUAUAUGCUGUGGGAAUUCCUUGUAGUGAGAGUGUGGACGAUGGUGUCUCUCUAUGGAAGAUCAUCUAUGGUGUUCUUCCGAAAAAAAUGGUGGCUCUCAGUGUUGUGUUUUUUUCCCGAAAAAAAAAAGAAAAAGAAGCCCCCCCCCCCAAAAAUGUUUUCUCCUCUUGGUCUCUCCUUUUCACUGUAUCCAUUCUCCUCUUUAAUUUUAUUUUUUGCUUUUUCUUUAUAUUGUGUCAUAAUUGUAUGAAUAUCAUUGGUGGCUUGUGGGUAUAUGUGUGUGGUAUGUGUAAAAUUAGGUAUGACAUGUGGAAAGAUGAGUGUGGCGUGUGGCAAAAUGAGUAGGGCGAAUGAAAAAUAAGGGGUGAGGUAUUGAGGUGACAUGGUGAAGUGGAUGCAAAUAGAAAUAAAAAUAAAAAUAGAAUAAAAAUAAAAUAAAUAAAAUAAAAAUAAAAAUAGAAAUAAUUAAAAUAUUUUUUUUGGGAUGGACAAAAUUACGUGUCUAUAUAUUGUCCUGUAUCAGUCUGUUUAGCACAAAAACAACUUGACUUGGAUCUAUUAGUGAUACGAGUACGACCACGAGGAUGCACGUAUGUGAGAAUGCAUUGGACCCGUCCAAUAAAGCAUCCAAUUCAGUGUGGAGAAGACCUUGUAUCACACCAAAACCGACCCUAAACUUGCACUCCAAGGGCGCGCUUUUCAUUAAAGGGACCUUUUGGUCAUUUUACCUAUUAUUUGUAACAUACUAUAAAUAGAAUAAUGUAGGGUUUUAGUCAUUAGUUUUGAUGAAUAUUAAAAGUUGUAGACACUUAGACAUUUCUCUCUUGUGAGAAAGGCCCCUAUGGCCAAACAUUGUAACUAGGGAUUUCAACUUGAGUGUGGAAUCACUUGUGUUGGAUUCAAGCUUGGAAAUGUUGGAUGCUUGGGAGAUCGAGGUCCCUCUUGUGCCACGNNNNNNNNNNNNNNNNNNNNNNNNNNNNNNNNNNNNNNNNNNNNNNNNNNNNNNNNNNNNNNNNNNNNNNNNNNNNNNNNNNNNNNNNNNNNNNNNNNNNNNNNNNNNNNNNNNNNNNNNNNNNNNNNNNNNNNNNNNNNNNNNNNNNNNNNNNNNNNNNNNNNNNNNNNNNNNNNNNNNNNNNNNNNNNNNNNNNNNNNNNNNNNNNNNNNNNNNNNNNNNNNNNNNNNNNNNNNNNNNNNNNNNNNNNNNNNNNNNNNNNNNNNNNNNNNNNNNNNNNNNNNNNNNNNNNNNNNNNNNNNNNNNNNNNNNNNNNNNNNNNNNNNNNNNNNNNNNNNNNNNNNNNNNNNNNNNNNNNNNNNNNNNNNNNNNNNNNNNNNNNNNNNNNNNNNNNNNNNNNNNUUUCUAGUGUUAGUUUUCUUCAUCUCUAACACUCUUGAGUCUAAAUAUAAGUUUGAGCUUACAUUGUUGGUGUUGUUUUUGUGAACAUAAGGCGUGGCCGAAUUGUUGUUGAAACAUUGUUGUGGUGGACUGUUUUGGCCUUGUGGUCUUCAUCUUGCUGUUGUUCUAAGCUUGGCCACGUGAUAUUGUUGUUCAUUGGUGGCCCAAGAACCAUUUUGUUGAAAUUGUAGUUGUCUUGGCCAAGUGUUAAAGAUAUUGUAUUGUGAAAAUUGGAAGUUGGUCGUGUGACAAUUGUCGUAUUUUUGUGUAGACACGUGAUUUUUGACCCUCCCCGAGUUUUAACCUAUUUAUCGGAAUUAAAUAUUUUAUUCGCUUUGAUAUUAUUUUAAUUCUUAUUUUAUUUUUAAUAAAUUUUUAGUUAAAAAUAAAUAAAUAAAGUUAUAUUUUGAUAUAUUUUUUAUUUAUUUUAUUUUUAUUUUAAAAAUAAUACAAAAAAGAAAUUCAAAAAUAUAUUUCAUUAUUUUUAAAUAAAUAGACUACUAGUUUUAGUAUUACCUUAAUUAUAGUUAUUUUAAAUUAUAGUAUUUUCUUAAAAUAUAAAAAAUAAUAUUCUUUUAUUUGUAUUAUUUAUUAAAAAAAAAAAGAAGAUAAAUCUUAUCCUAUGAAACUACCCUAACCACCCCCGUAAUUUCUCUCAACCUCCCUCUACUUCCCAACCCCCUACACCCUGUAUAUUGUCACACACACGAAAAAAAAAAAGAGAACACUCAUGGACAAAAAACAAAAGGGAGAGGAACAUAUUUUUAAAAAGUGGAGGAAAUAUUUGAAAAACAAGAAAACAAAAACAAGGAGAAAAACAAAAAAUCAGUAGUGAAGACAAGAAAGAAGGAAGAAAAAAAAAAGUAGUGGAUUGAGUUCAGGUUUCGUUUCAGUUUUUGGUGAUAUCGAUCGUAAUCCUAUACUAUUUACUGUAUAAAUUCUAUUGUGAAUCAAAGCAUAAGUGCAGAUAUUUAAAUAGUGUCAUGCGUUACUUAAUGUUUAGAACCUUUCUUAUUAUCGUAUGCUAUUUGUUUAUGAUUAUCUUUGUACAGUAUUAAUGAUAUGAUAUUUGUAUUUGACUAAUUGUAUACAGAUUUUUGGUUAAAUAUAUUUCGUUAAUAUAGAUUUCUAUGUUUAGUUAUUUAUUAAAAUUAAAGAAGUUAAAGACCAUGUAUUAAAUCUUUUAUAAGUUUCAAACUCUAGGAAUUAUUUUGUUGAAUAAUCCGAUGAUUAACUGCAUGAAACGUAGUCAGGAAAAGUUGCUAGCUUUAUUUGUUCAUAUAUAUAUAUAUAUAUUUAUUUGUGAUCAAGAAUGAGAUAUCUUUUAUCUAAAUACAGAUCAAAAGUGAUAAAUUAGUAUGAACUGUGCAAUGCCAUAGUAGAUAGGAUCUAUAUUAUAUUCUUUCAUAGUAGAAUAUAAUUGAUAUAUAGCAAAAUAUGACAAUUCAUGUGUUUCCAAGAGUCGUUAAAUUUUGGCUUUUAUAUAUUAUUAAUUCUUCGUGGCCCAAUAAAUAUCAUUAUUUAAUUUGUUUAGAAAAAUAUUUUCCAUACAUUUAUCACCAAUAUAUUAUAGAGCAACGAGUAUAUAUAAAAUAAUAAACAUUUGAUAUUUUUGGUUAUGAUACAGUAAUAUUAGUUUUACUAACUUUCUACGUCAAGAAAGCAAGUUAUGUUAAUUACUAAAUAGAUAUAUAGUGGGACCGAUUGCAUCGAUAUAUUGAUUCAGUAAGUUAUUUAUUAUUCUUAAGAGUAUAAUCUAACUUGCCUUUAUGGUAUUAUUUAAAUUAUUCAACUUGUCAGUAAUUAAUUAGUAUGAGAUGAUUAAAUUGGAACUUGCCCUAGGCCUUCACAUUUUUCACAAUUUUUACUUUUUUCACGAAAUACCUUCUACUUUUACACUAUAUAGCCAUCUAGUAAUUGUAUAAAAGAAAACUUUUUGUAAGAUAAAAAGCGAAAAAGAAUAAUAUAAAUUGUUUCGAAUUUUCAAGAAACGGAACUAAUGUCUUUAACACUAGACAAAUUUUAGGCACGUUUAAAAUUUUCGUCUUAAUUAAGAAUGCGGCAUACGCAUCUUUCUGAGACAUUUAAAAUUCAAAGAUGUAAUAAUGCACUUUGAUAAAUAUUUUUCUAAAAAUUAAUUAACUCUCACCGAUUUAUUUAAUAUAAGAUAAUAGACAAGUUUUUUAGUAUAGUAAAAUGAGCGAUUUUAGGGCCUACUAACAUAAUCUGUCAAAAUAAUUUAUGUCAGGAUAAGUCAAUAAAAGCGACCGUGAUAGAACCACGGGAUUCGAGGGAUGCCUCAUACCUUCCCCUCGGUCAACAGAAUUUCUUACCCAGUCUUCUAUUUUUGCGGACCAAUAAAGAGUCAUUUCCUUUUGAUUAGGGAUUCAAAAAGGUGACUUGGAACACGAUAACUCAAUUCCAAGUGGAGACUCUGUAAAUAAAUUCAUCCCUAUUCAAAAUCGUCACUUAAAUUGAAAAAACCCUUCGACUCAACGCCCUCCGAGCGAAAAAGGGGUGUGACAUUUUGGAGAUUAUUGUUGGUUGUUCUUGGUGAUUGUUGAUGUUGUUCUUAAAGUUCUUCACAACCUUCAUAGCUUGUUAAUAUAAAGUGAACAUUAGAUCUAUAAAGGUGAAGGAAAAAGGGGUGAAGCUUUGUUAGUCUUGAAAGACUUCCCAUCACUCAUCAAAUAGUCAAUCAUAUAUCAACCACUUUUCAACAACUUUCCAUAAAAUAAGGGUCCAUGUUAUAAGGAAAAGUACAAGAAAGUCAAAGUCUUGAAAACUUGACUUUGAAAAUGCUUCAAGACUUGUUUGAAUUUCCCUUCUUAAAAUAAAUUCCACCAAUUCCUAAAUUGUAAAUUGACCAAGACUUGAAAUUGGACAACAACAACAAAAAAAAAUUGUUAGAAACCGCAACCAAUUACAUGCUGCCACAUCAUCAUUACUAUUGUUCACGCAACAUAUUUAAGCUCAAAUUUUAGAUUUCUUAGUUUCCUUUUAUUGUUCCUUAGUUCCAAUUUCGUUGGUUUCAAUACUAAUUGGCAAACUAGUACUCAUCUACUAGAUUUUAGUUAGUCUUUGUGUUCGUUCAUUCGUGUUAAAUGUUUGUUGUGUGCUUUUCACUUUUGUGAAUUCGUUGUAUCUUGUUGGUUCAAGUCCGUAAAUAAAUUUUAUUUGAGUCAACUCAAAUGAAAAUUCAUUUCGGACAAGAGUAGACUCGACCCUCAAUCACUCACGAAGUACAAGCCGGUUUUCAACAUUUCUAAAACCAAGUGUGAGGUAAAACCAAGAGUGAGAGUGUGGUGAGGCAUUUUGAACUAACAAGUUUGUUUUGUUGUUUGUUAUUGUACUUUGCUUUAGGUACAAUUGCUGCCACUAAUCUUGAUGUCACAUUUGAUCGUGAUACAAGUCAAAUGGCCACCUUAAUUUUUGAAGACAUAAUUGGAGGUCAUCAUUUAAAGGUUCAAGACUUGGUCACCCCGAUGACACAAGAAUAUACAAGGAAGACCCAUUUUGAGCACAAGCAAGGUUGUGUGUAGAAGAUUACUUGGAGCAUCGAAGACUUGAGGACUCACGAUUUUGGACAGCACUUAAUGGGUCAUGAUUUGGUUAUCUUGAUUAAGGGUAUUUUGGUCACUUCAUUGGGUCCAAAUGCACUCCAUGGCCACCCAACCUUUUAAGGGCAUUGUUGUUAUUUUGCCUUGUCUUGUAAUAGAAUAUAAAUAGAACAUUUUAGGUCAUUUUCUCGUUAGUUUUUCAUUGAUGUAAGACUUGAAACAUUAAACACCUUUAGUUGUCAAGCUUGGAAUAGCCACCCCCAUCGAAAUGAGGGCAACAAGUGUGGAUAUCACUUGUGUUGCAAUGUUGGCUUGAGACGUUGGUGUUUAAAGGAGGUAAAGUUCCUCUUGUGUCGACGUAGGAGUUAGGUUAACCGUUGUGUGUAGUGUUAAGGGUCCGAGAUUACCAUAUUCUUGGAUUCUUAAGAUUAUACCAAGCAAGGUCUAACUAUCUAUCCAUUUUAUUUAUGUUGUAAUCAUUUGUUUGUGUUCUUGUAAUUCAAAUCCGUGACUUGUUGUUCUUGUUUCAUUAUUGUUGUUCUUCAUCUUGUUGUUGUUAACAUAGUUUGUUGUUAGCUGUUUUUAGGUGAUAAACACAUCAAUACAUUGUGUUCUUGUUGUUGUUUGUUAAAUUCGAGUAUGAUCUUCAAAAGGGUCCUCGAAUCUUUGAUCUUGUGGACUGAUUUUGAAGUGUGUUUCGUGUUGUUCUUGUAAUUCAUGUAUAAUUUGGUAUCAGAGCCAUCUUUGAUUUUGUUCUAACAAGAUCAAUCUUGGGCUUGAGAGUUGAAAAAAAAAUAUAUAAAAAAGAGUUGAAAAACUAUAAAUCCAGAAAAGGAGUAAUCUGCCCGUUCUUGUUGUUCUUGGCCAAGAAAGUUGUUGUUCUUGUUGUUGUCUUGGCCGAUACAUGUUUCUUUGUGACUAGAUAUUGUAUUAUUUUGUUGUUUAGAGUGUUUCUAGUAUUGGUUUCUUUCUAACCAACACUAAAAAGUAUCCAAAUCUAAGCUUGAACUUGAACUUGUUGAUGUUGUUAAUGUGAACAAAGUGUGGCUGAUUUGAUGUUGUUGUCAUUCUAAGCCUUGAUCGUGUUGAAGGCCUUGUUGUGCUGGAGUUGGGUGUUGGAAUUUGUUUUUGUUCUUAGAGAAUAUUGUUGUUGUUCUUGGUGUUGUUAUUGUGUUCUUGUUGUUCUUCACCCUUCUCAUCUUUUGUUAAAACAAAAAGUGAACAUUAGAUCCACAAAAGGUGAAAGACACAGUUGUAGUACCUGUUGGUGAAAGACUUGAUCACAUCACUCAAAAGACUUGACAACCACUUUUCACCUACUUUCCUUGAUUUAAGGACCUUGUUUGAAGGAUAAAGUACCAAGAAGGUCAAGUCUUGUUUUGAACUUGAAAAUGAAGAUCCAAGACCAAAUUUCCCUCAAUUAACCAAAUCCACCAUUUCCAAAUUGUAGAUUGGUCAAGACUUGAAAUUGGAGAGUAAAAUUUUGACAAAACCAAGGCCAAUAGUGGACUGACACAUCACUAAAUUACUGUUCACGCAACAUUGUGAGUUCAACUUUUAGAUUUCUUAGUUUUAUUUUAUUGUUUCUUAGUUUCGUUUGUUGGUUUGAACACUAAUUGACGACCUAGUAAUCUCCUACUAGGUUGUUAGUUAGUUUUUGUGCCCGUUUGUUCGUGUUAGCGUUAUUUUGUGUUUUUCUUAUUUUUAAAUCGUAGAAUUUCUUGGUUCAAGUUUGGACAUUAUUUCCUUAAGUCUUCAAACAAAGAAUCCAUUUCGACCAAGGAAUAGACUCACCCCUCGACUCAUCACGGACUACAAGCCGACUUACAACACUUGUGAAUCCAAAUGUGAAAUGAUCAAGUGUGUGUGAGUGUGGUGAGGUUGUUUCGAACUAACUUGUGUUUUAUUUUGUAGACUUGUUCUUUUUUUUUUUUUAGGUGCAACUACGAUGGAACCCGCGACUGCAAGUGCUAUUUUGGCUAAACUUGAAGCCAUUACCCGUCAAUGGGAAGUGAUAAAUGAAAAGUUGGAUCAUAUAGGAGUUCCAAGGGAGCAAGUGGGCUACCCAGACACACGUCAAGAUGAAGACCGUAGCUUAUGUGAGCUACGAGGUAAAAAUGUUAUCCCCUACACUCAUAUGAAUGUAGUUGCGGUUUUACCUAGUGUAGGAGUGCAUGAGUCUUCAUUUUGUGAUACGCUUGAUAUUGUUAGGUCACAUGAGGACCAAACUCUUAUUUUAGGUACACAAGCACUAGUUGAUCCUUUAGAUGACGAAAUUGAUUCUCCUCGUGAGAAUGAUUUGUGUCCAUCUGGUGCUAGCACUUACAAAUUGACUAAGGUUCCAUUACCAAGUGACGAGAGUAUUCACAUUCUAGUUGACCCUUGUGAAAAAUAAGGUGAGUCUACGUUGGUAUGUGAAUUGCCAACAACUAGUGAGGGUGAGCAAAAUGAUCAACCGGGCGUAGAUGAUCUUGAUUUACUUGAAUAUUUAGAAAACCCGAGUUGUGAUUUGUCUUUGUGAAGAUGAUUUUGAUUGUGGUCCUUUAGCUUCCCGUGAUGGUUUGUACGUAUGUGAGGAUAACUUUUGUGAAAGAGAAGGUGAUAUGUGCUUAGAAAUGCCAUUUACUUCGUCUUUAUGUGUUCCUUAUGUUUGGCAUAUUCCUAGUUGAAAUUUUGAAACUAGUAGUAAGUGCAUGCAUGGGAACCCUUUAUUUGAAGUUGACUUAUGGAACACCUUUCUCAACCCUCUUUUAGUUCAUGAUAUUUUCAAUAGUGAUAAAGAGUGCUUGUUUAAUUUUGAGGAUGAAACCCUAGGGGAAAAUGAGAGUGGCCGAGACCUAAGCCCUUGGUUACAUCUCCCAUUCGAUCCCGAUAACUUCUUAGGGUGAGAAGGAUGGAUAGUUGUUGGUCGGUCUACUUGUAUGAGUGAUAUUGUUAUAUGUGUUAGGUGGACUUUACUUUCAAUUAGGACACCACCCCUUGAAGGUGAAUCCUUUCGUCAUCUCCUUUGUAAUUUUUUUUCUAAGUCCCUUGUGAUUAUAACAAAGGAUGCGUGGUUAUAUCUCAAGUGUGUACCUCCUUUGCAUGUUGAUGUUGUUUAUUGUACUAACUUUAACCCUCUUGUCAUGAGGAUGUGGUGCUUGUUUGUCUUCUCUUUGUUCUUGCAAGGUUUGGAUUCGAGGUCGAAUCCUUUUCAAGAAGGGAAGGAUGAUACAAGUCAAAUGACCACCUUAAUUUUUGAAGACAUGAUUAGAGGUAAUCAUUUAAAGGCUCAAGACUUGGUCACCCCGAUGGCACAAGAAUAUGCAAGGAAGACCCGUUUUGAGCACAAGCAAGGCCGUGUGUGGAAGAUUGCUUGAAGCAUCGAAGACUUGAGGACUCAUGGUUUUGGACAGCACUUAAUGGGUCAUGAUUUGGUCAUCUUCAUUAAGGGUAUUUUGGUCACUUCAUUGGGUCCAAAUGCAUUCCAUGUUCACCCCACCCUUUAAGGGCAUUGUUGUCAUUUUGCCUUGUCUUGUAAUAGAAUAUAAAUAGAACAUUUUAGGCCUUUUUCUCAUUAGUUGUUCAUUGAUGUAAGACUUGAAACAUGAAACACCUUUAGUUGUAGGGCUUGGAAUAGCCACCACAUCGAAAUGAGGGCAACAAGUGUGGAUAUCACUUGUGUUGCAAUAUUGACUUGAGACGUUGGUGUUUAGAGGAGGUAAAGUUUCUCUUGUGUUAACGUAGGAGUUAGGUUAACUGUUGUGUGUAGUGUUAAGGGUCCAAGAUUACCAUAUUCUUGGAUUCUUAAGAUUAUAUCAACCAAGGUCUAACUAUCUAUCCAUUUUAUUUAUGUUGUAAUCGUUUGUUUGUGUUCUUGUAANNNNNNNNNNNNNNNNNNNNNNNNNNNNNNNNNNNNNNNNNNNNNNNNNNNNNNNNNNNNNAGUUUGUUGUUAGCUGUUUUUAGGUGAUAAACACAUCAAUACAUUGUGUUCUUGUUGUUGUUUGUUAAAUCCAAGUGUGGUCUUCAAAAGGGUCCUCGGAUCUUUGAUCUUUUGGACUGAUUUUGAAGUGUGUUUCGUAUUUUCCUUGUAAUUCUUGUAUCAGAUCGCAUCAAUGACGAUAUUGAAGAAAUGAAAUGGCAUGUGGAAAGGCUACGCUAAUUGUUACCUAAACUUAUCCCACAAAAUUCAACUUUCUUUGUCCAAACACCUUGUGCCGAGAGCUUCCCAAAGGAAGAGGUGGGCUACCCCGACCCACACCAAGGUAAAGAGGAGAUUGAAACAUCUUUGGUACUUGAUAGUGAACUUAUAAAGAGUGAAGCACUUGUUAGUUCCAAAUCUGUCCGUGAGAUAGAUCACGCUCUUUUUAGGUUUAAUGUUUUGUUUGAACAUGAUAUAAACACUCCUAAUGAACCUAGUGGUGAAAAUGAUGGUAUAGCUUGCCUUGAAAUCUAUAGCUGAUAUGCUAACCCACUAUGGUGUGACAACAUUCCUCCUAAAGAUGGAAAUCUCUUUUUGGAAGAUGAGAGUACUCUUAUUGACAAGGAAUGUGUAGUCUCAAAAAUGAGUACUCUUGGUGGUACUCUUAGUGUGCAUGAUGAUCAAUUUCCUCUUAAAUGUAGUUUACUACUUGAGCAUGUGAAUAGUGUGCUUAAAAAUUCUCAAGUUAGUGAUGAUCUCUAUAGAAUUGAUCUUGAUAAUACACAUGACUCUUUGAACAUCUUGUGUGGUAAAAGCAUUGUAAUUAGUUUUGUUCAUAGAGACCAUGUGUAUGAAAAUGUUUUUGUGUGUGAGUGACAUUCUAGGGGAAGGGAGUGCUAGCCUCGACUUAGGUCCUUGGCUAAUUUUUCCAUUUGAUCCCGGCACCCUCUUGGAAUGUGGAAAUCUCUACACUCCCCAUUUAAUGCUUGGUCAAGACGACAAGCAAUGUUUGGUUGUGGGUGCUAAUGAAGGAAGACAAAGUUCUUCAUUAUCUCUUUUUGUGGAUGAUGACUACUUCCUUUGUGUCUUUUGUACUAAGAUUUUUAUGUUCAACACAAAGGAUCCAUGGAUAUACUCCAAGUUUGUACCCCCCCCCCCCCGGCAUGGAAUAUGAUGUGUGCAUUUUGCUAACCCUAACCCCUCAUGUCUUGAGGAUAUGUUCUUGUUGUCUUCUCUUGAUUUUGCGAGGUACGAAUUCGUGGUCGAAUCCUUUUGCAAGAAGGGAAGGAUGAUACGGGUACAACCAUGAGAAUGCACGUAUGUGAGAAUGCAUUGGACCCAUCCAAUAAAGCGUCUAAGUGAAGUGUGGAUAAGACCUUGGAUCACACCAAAACCGACCCUAAACUUGCACUUCAAGGGCGGCCUUGGUCACAUUUCAUUAAAGAGACCUUUUGUUCAUUUUACCUAUUAUUUGUAACACACUAUAAAUAGAAUGAUGUAGGGUUUUAGUCAUUAGUUUUGAUGAAUAUUGAAAGUUGUAGACACUUAGAUAUUUCUCUCUUGUGAGAAAGGUCCCUAUGGCCAAACAUUGUAAAUAGGGAUUUCAACUUGAGUGUGGAAUCACUCAUGUUGGAUUCAAGCUUGGAAAAGUUAGAUGCUUGGGAGAUCGAGGUACCUCUUGUGUCACGUAAGAGAUAGGUGAAUUGUAGUGUGUAGUGUUAAGGGUCCAAGAGUGGAAUAUGCUCUUGGGUUCUUAAGAUUAUGCCUUCAUGUAAUCUAUCUUUCUAUCCCUUUGUUUAGUGUAAUCUGUUGUUGUUGUUUCUUGUGCUGUUGAAACCGUUAGUUAUUAUUAUUGAAAUUCUCUUGUUCUUCACGUAUUGAUGAUGUUUUGGGUGUUAUAUACAUCAUUGAAUCAUGUAUUCUUCUUGUUAGUAGCGAAUCCGAGAGUGGUCUCCAAAAAGGUCCUCGGAUCCUUAAGAUUAGUGGACUGAUUUGGAGUAUGUUUCGUGUUUUCCUUGUUUGUCUCGUAUCAAUUACACUCCCCAUUAUAUUCGUCAUUCUUUAGGUGAUUAUUUUAGAGAUAAUUUUGUAAAGGGUAGCGCAACAUGAGAUUGAUCUAAACUCCUUAAUAGUGGCUAGAUUUUUGACUUUUAGAAUUAGAGUCACACUCGUGCAGUUCAUAGGUUGAAACAUCUUACCACUUGCAAAGAAAUCAAGUACUGCUUCUGUAACAUCCUCCCCAAUAAUGUGCCAAGCUUUGUGGAAAAAAUAAGCAUUCAUUCCAUCACACCCUAGUGCCUUAUUACCAUCAAUAUUCUUCAUAGCAUAUGCAACUUCUUCUCUGGUGACAGGUUGUAUCAAUUCAAGCUUUUGUGCUCUUGUUAAUACAUUUCCUCUUCUCAUGACAAUAGGGGCUAUCGUAGGUAGUGCCUAUGUUGCUGUCCCUAAUAGUGUAGAGUAGAAAUCAAUAAUUUCCUUUUGUAUGUACUCUGGUUUAUGCAACAUGGUGCCUGUCUUAGACAUUAGGUGCUUGAUGUUGUUAUGUGCCUGCCUCCCUUUUAGACUUGCAAAAAAAUACUUGUGGUUAGUAUCACCAAGUUUCAACCAUGUCUUUCUUAAUUUUUGCAGCAAAAUUCUUUCUUCAAUAUGACUCUAGUGCUCCAGUUAUCUUAAGUAUCUUCUCUGUGUCAAAUAAUUUUGAUUCACGAUUUGGGGAUCUCAUAUCUUGUUGCACUUUUUCCAAUUGAGAUCUAAUAGAUUGCAUUUUACUAUUAAUACCCAUAAACUCCUGUAAAUUCAAGUUUUUUAGACCUUGUUUAAGUCUUUUCAUCCUCUCUCAGAUUCUACUCAUAUGUUUCACUGAAGCUGGAGUCUUCCACGCCUGCACUUGAAAAGCUAGGAUGGUCAGCCAAAGCAUUGAAGAACUUAAAAGUCUUUUUUCGUACAGGUUGAUUAUCAUCAAUUAUGAAUGUUAUAGGAGUGUGAUCUGAUACACCUGGAUCCAUGGUGACAGCCUCAAUAUGUGGGAAUAAUUGUAACCAUUCUGCAUUGACUACAGCUCUAUCAAUUUUACUGAACACAUGACCAUUGGACCAAGUGUAUUUUCUGCCAACUAUUUUCAUCUCUGUUAACCCAUUGUCUUUUAGGAAAUUUGCAAAAUCCUUUACCUCACUAUCUUGCAUAGGACUUCCCAUGAUCCUAUCUUCCUCUUCCAAAAUGGUAUUAAAAUUCUCUAUCAAAACCCAAGGACACCGAAUGUUCUUUGCUAGUCCAGAUAGAGCAGGCUGCAUGCUGCUUCUUGCAGUAAUAGUGUACAACCCAUAUAUAGUUGUUACCAAGAAGCUAGUUUGGUUGAUGUCUACUUUACCAUGGAUAAAUUAUUUAUUUAUUACUAAUGGUGUAAAUCCAAUCUUAGCAUUAUCCUAUGGUAUCCAUAUUCUUCCUCUAUCAGUAGCCUCAUAGUUACCACACCAGUGCCAUUUUCUCCCCAAUCACUGAAUUAUUUUUGGAGCAUAUUGUUGCUUAACUUUAUGCUCUACCAAUGCAAUAAAACUAUCCUUAUUCUUAUUUAGGAAAUAACUAACCUCCUUCUGCUUAGCUACUUUAUUUAUUCCCCUGAUAUUCCAUGCUACUAUCCUCAUAUAUUCUUUGUAGGAGUGCGAUUUGUACCUUCUCCAUACUUGGUGCUGCAUUGUCCUUCAUCCCAUCGUAUUGGAGCUCCCUCAUUAUACAGUAUAUCUCAUUCUUUGCAGUGAAUCCAUUAGUAGUGUUCAUACUGAUGGCUACCUCUUUAGAUUUAUUCUUUGCAGUUGACCUCCCCUUAGCCUCCUUUCAUGUACUAGGACUCACACUCUGUUGCAAGAGAGGGAAAUUCUCUGCAUUUACAUUUAUCUGGUCCUCCUCAUUUUGUACUACCUUUGUAGUCGUGGGUUCAUUCUUUUGCAUCCAAGUCGGGACCAAUUUGGGCUUUUUCUAUUCUACAGGUGCCUUGGUCUCUUUAGACUUGCAUUUAUGUCCCACCAUGAGACAGGUUGGACAGUACACAGGCACCCAGUCAUAUUCCAAUCUCUGCUCAAACACCCUGCCACUCGAGUCUUGUACUGUAGUAAUCUUUAGAAGCUCUUGCAUAACAUUCAUCUCAAUAAGCACCCAGGCCUAAGAGGUCCUCUCAAUUUUUAUUGUACACUCAUCAGCAAAUAAGGGAUUUCCUAACGCGCUACUGAUUCUACUUAAAGCUUCCCUUCUCCAGCAAUUCAAUGGCAAGUUUGGAAACUUUACCCAGAUUGGAAUUGUAGUUAAGACUUCUGCAGUGAAAUAAAAGUCUAUAGUCUAUGCUAUCAUUAUUAUGGGUCAAUUAUUGAGUGUAUGAUUUCCCGAUGCUAGCACCGCAUCCCAAUACUCCAUGGAUUUGAAUAACACCACGAAGAAACCUUCAUUGUGGUAGUAUAUUUUAGGCUUGGCUGCAAAAUUCCACUGUGAUGCUAUAAAUCUCUCCAAUGCUCCAAUAGUUGGAGAAUCCCCAACUACAUACAGGAUUAUAACCUUUCUCCACUUCUCAGUCUCCUGUUCCACAUCAAUUGAACCAUUUUUGCAGCAUCCUGCAUUAUUGGAGCAACAUAAUCCAACUCCACACCUCUCCCUGCCAUCUAGUUCCCGCAAAUAGCAUCGCCUAUUGUUUCGAUUCUUGCGGCUGUGGCACAUUUAACUCCCUCUGAUCUUCGGUCUCAAUUUCUAUUUGUUGUAGAGUAGGUGUGAUUAUUUGAUCCUUAGUUGGGAUGGUGAUCUCUGUUGCCCUUACUAUUGACCCAGAAACACCAAAUUCAAUGGGAUAGUACCUCUGCUAGAAACCCCUGCUUUUGGAGAUAUCGUCUCUUUACCUUUUCUCUGUCUACUUCCCAUUGCCGGUGGAGUAUGUUUCUCUUCUCGUGUUGCCGUCACCGUCUGUUUGCGUGGUCGUCCUUGUGCUCUCCCCAUAACCGACGGCGUAGUUUAGCAUGCACACUAACCUCCGCUAAGAGAGUUUUUUUUUAUAAUUGUUUCUUUACGCAUAACCUAAAAUCCAAUAUUUAUUUAAUUCAUAUAUCAAUAAGACAUGACUAAUUAAACAUUGUCCUUCACAAACAUCUCAAAAAUACAUUGAACAUUAAACUUCAAAAUUAAAUUUUCAACAUUAGCAUCUUCAAACUUAAAAUUUUCAACAUUAACUAGUAUCUUCAAAUUCCAAAAUCAACUGUAAACACAAAACCUUCAAUAUUUGAAAAUUCGCUCCAACCAUACAAUUACAUCAUUAUAAUUGAAUAUCCAAGACAAUUUGCAACGAAAUCAACGAUUGUCAUUACGAUCACUAUCAUCCCGUGGUCUCCUUGCAUCCAUGGACGAAAUGGGUCCACUGCCGCAUCACUUGGCUACAUAAAAAUGCAAAGUAUAAAAAAUAAUCAAAUAAACUUUCAGUCCUUAUUACAUUUAUAUCUGCGUAAAACUAAAAACAUCAUGAUAAAUAUAAAUAGAUCAAUCAACAACUACUCCAUGCUACAGUUUUAAACUACUCAAUCAGUUGAUCAAACUAGGAUCUUGAGUACCAUUCAACAUACAUGCAACAUCUGGAGAAUUGCUACCCAAAAGUUUCAUGCAAGAAUUUAUCACUUCAUCCGUUGCGAGACUAUCACAAAUAUCACUUCGAGUGCUAAAUACAUCUGCCAAGAUCGAGGCAGCAAGUACGUAUUUCAAAUCACUACCCUUAAAACAUUUUCAAGUCAUUGGUACACAUUUCAAAUCACUACACUUAACUAUUUUCAAUUAAGUAUUCACAUUUCAAGUGAUUAUACCUUAUUAUUUUAAAGUUAUUAGUACACAUUUCAAGUGACUACACUUUAACCAUUUUUAAGUCCUAAGUUCACAAUUUCAAAUAACUACACUUAACCGUUUUCAAGUCACAAGUUCGCAAUUUCAAGUAACUACACUUAAUCAUUUUCAAGUCACUACACUUAAUAAUUUUCAAAUAACUUAUUCACUAGUAUACAUUUCAAGUCACUACACUCAAACCAUUUUCAAAUAGCUAAUUGACAUUUCAAGUCACUAUACUUAACCAUUUUGAAGUAACUACACUUAACCAUUUUUAAGUCACUAGUACACAUUUCAAGUCAUUACACUUAAAUAUUUUUAAAUAACUAGUAGACGUUUCAAGUCACUACACUUAACCAUUUUCACGUAACUAAUUCACAUUGCAAGUCACUACACUUAACCAUUUUCAAAUAAUUAAUUCAUAUUUCAAGUUACUAUACCUAACCAUUUUCAAGUAACUACUUCACAUUUCAAAUAACUAUACUUAAUCAUUCAAGUCACUACACUUAAUCAUUCAUUUCAAGUCACUAUACUUAAUCACUUUCAAGUAACUAAUUCACAUUUCAAGUAACUACACUUAACUAUUUUCAAGUAACUACACUUAACCGUUUUCAAGUCACAAGUUUGCAAUUUCAAGCACCUACACUUAAUCAUUUUCAAGUGACUACACUUCUCAAGUAACUACACUUGAUCAUUUUGAAGUCACCAGUACACAUUUCAAAACACUACACUCGACCAUUUUCAACUCUCUAAUUCACAUUUCAAGUGACUUAAUUAUUUUCAAGUCAUGAAUUCACAUUUCAAGUGUCAACACUAAAUCAAUUUCAAGUCAUAAAUUCACAUUUUCAAGUGAUUACACUUUACUAAUUUCAAAACACAAGUUCACCUUUCAAGUAACUACACUAAAUCAUUUUCAAGUCGCUAAUCCACUUCUCAAGUGACUACACUUGAUCAUUUUAAAGUCACUAGUACACAUUUUAAAACACUACACUCAAUCAGUUUCAACUCUCUAAUUUAUAUUUUAAGUGUCUAAACUUAAUCAUUUUCAAGUCAUGAAUUCACAUUUCAACACUAAACCAAUUUCAAGUCAUGAAUUCACAUUUUCAAGUGAUUACACUUUACUAAUUUCAAAACACAAGUUCACUUUUGAAGUCACUACACUAAAUCAUUUUCAAGUCACUAAUCCACUUCUCGUGACUACAAUUGAUCAUUUUGAAGUCACAAGUACACAUUUCAAAAUACUACACUUAACCAUUUUCGAUUCUCUAAUUCACAUUUCAAGUGACUAAACUUAACCAUUUUUAAGUCAUGAAUUCACAUUUCAAGUGACAACACUAAACCAAUUUAUCCUAUUCUAUCAAUAAAACACAACAUAAAUCUAAUCACAAACUUAUUAUAUUCCGUCUUAUCCCAUUCAACAUGGAACUAUUUUAUCCCACCUGGAUUAGUCCAGAACUAUAAUUCCACAACAAAAGAUCCUUAACAGUAAAGCAGAACCUAUCUAGCUAGCAUCAACUAUAUGGAUUUUUUUUUAUAACCGUGGUGUCCGAGCAAACUUAUCACUUAUUGUCAAUAAGAUACCAUGUGACUUUAUCCAUUUAGCUCAAUUUGGACCUUUUUCAUUCCAAGACUUUAUCUUUACAACAAAUUAUGAAUUUUCUAACACAAAUCUCAUAAUUACAAACAAACAAAAAAAGAAUAUCAAACAAAUCAGGAAACACAUAGAUAAAGAAGAAAAUUAGGAAUACGCAAAAAGGGAGAAUACCAGAAGAAGGUUUCGGGUGUCGUUGAGGAAAUUUAACGCGUGGAAUUCUCUUCAUUAUGUGUCUUCCUUCGCUGGUUCGGCUGGAAAGGAAAUGGCAACGACGGCAGUGGGUGGAGGAGUUUUCCGAUGAGCUAUUCCCGAUGGUGGUCUCGUCGGUGCCGGCGAUCAGUUUAUGGGGGAAGAGAGAACUAUAGAGUUGUAGAGAGAGUGUAGUGAAGAGCGGCUGAUUCUUUGGCCAAAAGUGAGGGAUUAGGAUUUUCUUUUUUGGUUUAAAUGGAAAGAGGGAUAGGGUUUGAUCCAGCCGUUAGAUCAAUUGAUCAACGGCUGAGAUAUAAAAAU
RNAcentral lists this long non-coding RNA (47630 nucleotides) under Capsicum annuum. Its description in RNAcentral is "long non-coding RNA (CANN_LNC007617)". Lineage: Eukaryota; Viridiplantae; Streptophyta; Magnoliopsida; Solanales; Solanaceae. The record is from RNAcentral.